UUUUUUUUUUUAGUGAUUGAUUUAGAGCAUUAUGUUGUUUAUUAUAUAUUUUAUUUAUUUUUAUCAUUAUGUUAUUUUUUAUAUUUUUAUUUAUGGUAUUGAGUAUAAAAUAUCAUUGAUGAUAACAAUAAUAGGGUUAGGUGAAUCGUAAUUGUGAAAGUAAGAGCAUAAAAUAUAGUAUUAGAUGAUGAACAGAUUACAUUACUGAAUCCCACUGGUCUUAGAAAAAGAUCUGUAGAAUAGGAGAUAAACAAACAAACAAAGAUUUAUUCUGAAACACAAGUACUUAACUUAACUCAACAACACAGCUAUAGAAAGAUGAUACAUAAAUCAUCUUCUAUAUAUGGAGAUUGAAGUUUUAACAGUGUUUGGUGCAGAAGCAUCUACGACGGAAGCCACGGCAGUGUCCUCCGCUGAAACGUUCAGUUCGGCAGACAGAAGCACAGUUGGUGUCACUCACACAUGGUCCCUUGAAACGGUGGCUCUGAGACUCACAAGUUCUUGCCUCCGCCACCAUUCUUGGUCCCAUCUCUGCUCAACACAUUAUGCAACACAACUUAUAGACAAGAUCACAAUAAAGAAAACCCUAAAAUGGAAGUAUUGAGCAUGGAGAAAAGCUUACCAGUGGCGAGAAGAAGCAGAAGAAAGACGAAGAUGGUUGAGACAAAAGACACAGAGCGAGCCAUGGAUGAGAGAGUGAGCAAGUUUGAAGAACAACUGAAGAAGCUGGGGUUGAUAGCGAAAUGCAAUGGAGCUGCUUUGCCUUAAAUAGAGAUCAUCAAGGUAAAAACAUGUGGUAAUAUUUCUUACUUACAUUAAAUUACUUAAUCAAUUAUUUAGUAAUUUUAAUUGCAUCUUUUAAUUCAUUCUUCAACUUUUAUUUUAUUAUUUUUUAAUUAUUAUUUUUUAAUUAAUUGUACAAAAAGUGUAUUCUAGCCACUUUUGAGAACUCGUGAAAAUAUAGCAAGAUUGAGUGAAUCUAUAAAGUUUAGAGUAAUAAAAAAUGUAAAAAAAAAAAAUACUGAAUUUAAAUAGUUUUUUAAUUGAAUUUUAUACCGGGAAUUUAAAAUUUCUGAAGAACUAGUUAAAGAUAAUAAAUUUCGAUAUUCAACUUAAACAAGUUAAAAAUUAUAAAAUAGUUACUAAAUAAGGAGUUUAACUAUGACAAUGAAUAUAAAAAUGAAAAGAAAAUAAUUUAUACUUUCGAGUCCUGAAUUAUAUAAUGAAAAGAAAAUAAUGUUUUCUGGUUUGCAUUAAGACCCUGUUUGUUUUAAAAUGCUUUAGGAGAAAAAGAUGAUUAUUUGUGAAAUGAAUGAUCGAGAAAAAGGUGAGGAAGCAUCAUUAUUGAGAAGCGGUGGUGAUGAGAGAGGCUUUAUCGCUUUGAGACAAUCUUUAUGACAAACACGGUGUCGACCUUCAGCUUUUCCAUUUUCACGUUUUUUUAACAUUUCAGAACUCAUCACUACACGUAAGCGCGUUUCCUUCUUUGCUCAUUCUGUAUCACAUGGGCUGGUAAGUGGGUCCCUUCGCUCGUACCAAACAGGACCUUUCGCUCACUUUUUUAUUUACUUUUUUUCAUUUCUUUGAAUUUGGUUGUAGAGUAUUACGUAUUCAUAUUUCUUUAAACAUCACUUUUUGUAAAGAGGGAAUAGACAGAAGAAAUAGAAAAUAUGGGGAUGGAAUUAAGAGAAUUAUUAUUAUUUUUUUCGGUUGGUCGAUCGAAUUAUUUUAUUUUAUUAUUUUAACGAUUUUCUCGUACUUAUCUUGUUUAUCUGUUUUUCGUUUUUUUAAAUUCUAUACUUUGAUAAUACUUAUAAAAGACAUUCUUACAUUAAAGUAAGACUACUCGGUGUUAUUAGUACUGGAUGAUGAAGUACUUGAUUCUUGAAAUCUGUAUCUACUUAUAUGAUUAUCAUGGAUAUUUUAUUGGACCGGAUUAAGGAUUUGAAUCAUAGUUAAGAAUGUAUUACAUAAUAUUUCAUCAUUAAUUAGUCUAAUUAAUCAUCUGUUUGGAUGGUUUAGGUUGCGUCGAUCGUUCUUGACAGGUACUAAACUUUCAGGUGUCGUUCGUACCGACCAGUACAAUAUCAAAUGAUAAAAAAAUAUUUCAUUUAUUAUUAUUAUUUAUUAAUAUUAACAUUUCUUUAACUAUUUACUAUCAUUAUAAAAGAUAAAAAGUUGUAAAAAAUAAAAAAAAAACACACCUUUAAUUUGAUUGUAAGUAUCACAUAAUCCACUAUGGUUAUAAAAAUAAUUUACUUCUCCCUCUUUAAAUAUGUAUUUAUUUAUUUUAUAUGUGGAUUUAUAUCUCUUAUUUAUUUAUGCAAUUGUUUUCUAUUAAUAUUUUAAUUGGAUUUUUUUCAUGUUCAUUACGUUAAUUUGGUAUGAUAAUAAUUAUAUAAAAAUUAGUUGUACCUCUUGGUGAGGACUAUAAAAAAAUAGAUUAUAUGAUGCUAAUAAGUUGUAUAUAAAAAUGAAUUAUAUUUUCUAAUUUUUUUCCGGAAAUCCUUCCUGAAGAGGUUUAUAUAUUUGUUAAACUUUAAUGUUAAUCAUUUUUAAGUUGAAAUCUAAUAUAAUCUUAAAGUGUAUAACUUAUUUAGUAAUCACCUAUUAUUAGACUCGUCGGUUCAAUAUAUAUAUAUAUAUAUAUAUAUGAUGAAAUAUGGAAAAGUUACUUGAAGAUAAGUUUUAUUCACAAUUUUGUAAAGUAAAUUAUUAGUUUAGUAUAAUAUGUUAUUUGUACUACGUUAAUAAUGAAUAAUUUUUGUUUUGUUAGUCUCACCCAAUAAAGAUUACUUAUUAUUUUAUAAAUUUAUUUUGAUUAUCAUUAUUAUUUAUUUAUUAUUAUUAAUAUUCUUAAUUUUUAAUAGUGUUCAUAGUACGAAAUCAGUGUGAACCACCCUACACCCUAUAUUAUUUCACCAAUCCAAUGAAUUGUCAUUAAUAAUAUUGCAACACAUUAUCUAACUUAAUGGAGAAAAAAAGAAAGAGAUAAAGAAAGGUUAUGUCAUGUUUGGAAUGCUGUAAAAGAAGUUCGCAGAGCUUCAUGACAGAACUUGUCACAUUAUACGAGAUUUGCUUAAUACUGAAAUAGUUCAUGCUAAUUACUUAUCUUGAAAACAAAAUAAAAAACAAUCAUAUAGAUAAAUAAAAUAAAUAGGGUAUGUUAGUAAUUUUUAGAAUUUUUAAUAUAAAUAUAACUUUAAAUUACAAAUAUAAAAUUCAUUCUUUUUCAUACAUUUUUACAAAAUCGUUUAUAGUAAUUUAUAAUACAUAUUACUCAUCAAAAAUUCACUAAUUAACCUACACAAACACUUGAUUUUUUCUAAGUUUAUAGUAAUUUAUAAUACAUAUUACUUAGAUCAGAAAUUCACUAAUUAACCUACACAAACACUUUAUUCUUUCUAAGUUUAUAGUAAUUUAUAAUACAUAUUACUCAUGUUAGAAAUUCACUAAUUAACAUACACAAACACUUGAUUCUACUUCUAAAAGAUUUAUGCAUGGAUUUAAACUCAAAUAUAUGUAUCUAUCAUAUUACUUGACUAUGAAAUUUACACAAUAAUGCGCAUAAUAAUCUUAAUAUCAAUUCAUCUCAUAUGACAUGGUUAAUUCAUACAACAGACCAAACCAGUUAUUUUUCAAACUGUAAACUCAUUCAUACGAAUAUCUUUCGACUCUCAUCACCUAAUAAUCUUCAUAUGUAUGAUUCUAAUAUAUCAGUAGAGUCAUGAUAUCUCAUUCUAAAUGAAUCAUUAGUGAAUUCACAUUUUUAUUUUUUUCAACUUUGAGAAAAUCUUUCGAAAUAUUUUCUAAGAAAUUUUCAACUUUUUAAUGUUGUAUCAUAUUGAAGGAUAUUUAACUUUGUAUCAUCUUAAACAACUCCGAUAACGAAGUGUUGGAUAUGUAUUUUUUUUCCAAGUUUAAUUGGGUUUUUCAUAUUAGGAUGUUUAAGAUAAGAAGCUUAUAUGACUAUUUUAAAAGUAACUUUUUCUUUUAAAAAGUGUGUGUGUGUGUUAAAUCCAUGGAUGAAAUAUAAGAUGAAUGAAUGAAAGUUGGAAGUAUUAUUAGUAUUAGCAAUUUUGGGGAACACAUGUCCCUCUUUUAGAUUUGUGUAUCUUGCUUUACCACUCAGUGGAAGGAUGUGGUACGAAUUUGCGGAAAAAAGGUGUCAUCACUCAUUAUUACAAAGAAUGAAUGUGUACACAAAAGUGAAAGAGAAGGAGAUUAUUUCAGAGCAAAUAUUUGUUGAAUAUGCAGUAAAUUAUAUAUAUAGAUAGAUUUUUAUUCUAGUUACUAUUUGUAUACUCUUUUUUUUUCUUAUAGUAAAUUAGCUAUUGUUGUAUUUCGAAUUAAGAAAAUGAUUUUGUUGAUUUUAAGAAAAAAGUAAUGUUUGAUUUGUAUAUUUUAAUAUGAAAUUAAAAUUGUGUUAGUAAGAAAAUCACGUUUUGACAUGGAGAAUUUUCGUAUUGAUUGAAUAUGAGUACGAAUAAUAUCCAAUUUUGUAUAUAAGAUAUGGGAAGAGGUACGAGUAUAGGUAUGUACAUAUUUGUCUCAUCUCUAACCUCAUAUACAUGUCUUGGUUUUAAAUUAUUAAACUUGUUUUAGUUUAUUAGGUAAUAUAAAAACUUAUUUCAUGUUUUCUUUUUGGUUCUAACUUUCACUCUCAUCUAGAUGACUCUUUUUCACUACACUUUUUUUUUUAUAAGUUCAUUCAGAUCCUCAAUAUAUUUUUUCUCUUAUCACAACCUUUGAUUACACACUUUUUCAUUUGUGAGAUUUCGUUUAUAAGGUGUAUUACAUUUUAGGAAGGACAAACAUCAAUUACAUUCAAUGAAACUAGGCAUACAUUUGAUUAUUUUCACUUUUUUAAAUAUUUUUUAUUUAUUGGUUAUUUUUGUCACAUGUGAACAUCCUACCCUCAAUUUUAAGUGUUGGGUAGUAUAAAGUUAGUUUAUUAUGUAACAUACAAAACUUAACGUCUUUGUGCUCUUUGUCUUUAAUUUUGUUUCAUUUAUAAAACCUUAUUUAUAGAACUUUUCUUUUGCUACAAAAUUUUUCAUAAAAACCCUCUUUUGAUUUUUUAUCAAAAUCUCAAUGUGAAUGUUUGUUCGUAAUUUUGACUAUAUAUGAAACUAUUAAUUGAGCUUUUAGAUAAGUGAUAUAUAAGGUUCGAACACAUCUCUUAAAAUAUCGUACACAUGUAUCGGACAUUGACACUCGUACGAUAUUUGUAGGACACAUAUUAGUGAAACGUCCUAUUAAAAGAAUAUUUGUUGGAUUUCUGACAAUUCUAACACAAUUUUAAAACUGAGUAAAAAAUUAUUAUAAAUUUUUUUAUUAUGAUUAUAAAAAUAAGAAACAAAUCAUUUUGAACCAGUCAAAACAAACAUCUGCUCCAAAAAAACCAAAACAUACUUGUACACAUAAAUCUUUAUUGUCAAUUUAUAUAAUUCAUAUUUAUUUUAUAUAUAAAAUUAUGUUUCUAUGUUCUAUAUUUUAAAAAUUGUAUACAUAUAUCUAUAUCAGUGCAUCUGUGUUGUGUAUCGUAUCAGUAGUCAGUGAUCCUUAUCGAAACUGCAGUAGAUUUUAGAAAAAUGUACACCUGUGUUCAUCAUUUCAUAUAAAAUUUAGAAUUCUCUUGUUGGAAAUAAUUUUCUGACACAAAAACUUCAAUAAUUUUGAAACAAAAUAGCAACUAGUGUCAGUAUUUUCUCUUGGUUCUUGAAUCGAAUUGCUGGAUUCUUAUCCAAGAAACAUUUAUGUGACAGAUCAUUGACUUUACUAACAUUAGAGCUUCAUCAAUACCCGUGUCAGUUUUCCAGUUAAAAACAAGCUUACCGUUAAUUUACUAACCAAUAACAUUUUACUAAACAAAAAAACACAAGGCUAUAGGAGAGAAUAUUAACAAGGUUAAUAUAUUUCCAUUAACUUCGUUUAACCCAUCAUUCGAUUCGUGGUAUACACAAAGAGUUAAUAACCUUUUCUUUGAACAUAAAGAUCCUCAUAAAAAGAUGAAAAAGGGGAUCAUAUUGAUGGGAAUCACCAAUCUGAAGUUCUCAGUCUCCAAUUUAACCCGGUAAUGAACACGAACUCAAUCCCAUGUCACCGAAAUCAUAGAGUUGGCAAGGCCUGAAUCCUGGAAGGUUGAAUUACUUUCAUAGUCCAGAUUUUUAGAUGCUCCGGGAAUUGCAUGAGUUAGUCUAAAUGGCUUUGUUUCAUCCUCCCCUAGUUGGGUGGAAAUAAAAGACCACAGCAGCUUCAAGAAAAACAAAGAAAAUCAAAACCAGACAAAUAAACUAACAAAAAACACAAUCAACUUGCAUCCCAAAAGGCAAAGAUCCUUUCAUACAAAUCUCCACACAACACUAAUACUUAUUCUGAAUAAUGGGUGGUGUAAGAAAUUCAGGAAUUCAACUGAGGGUCAAUAACUCUGUUCUCCAAAUUAACAAGAAAAUAAGCUUGCAAUUUAAACCAGGGUACAUAAUUAUUAUCAUUAACUUUGCAGUAUCCAGCAGUCAUCAAAUAAAACGUAACAAUUAACAGUACUACUGUACUACAAUACAUAAUUAACUCAUGUUUGAGUAAGAGUGUCCAUGAUAAAUUUAAUAAUUAAAAUAUUUCCCUUUGCCAUACACCCAUAUCAUAUACAUCCAUAACAAUCAUAAUUUCAAGAACAAUGUAGCAAUAUCGAAAGACAUGCAGAUAUAAAUAAUAUCCAGUAGUCUUUGAAGGGGAUAAAGAAUGUACAGCAUCCAGAAAUCAUAUUAAAUUGGCAGAAGAUCAUCUUUAAGAAAAAUGAGAACAUUAGGUUGGAUGAAUUCCUAUAGGUAUGAGAGCAACAUCUGUUACCUGAAUUGGAUCCGUGCGUAAGAAAUUACGCUGAACACGUUGACCACCUGGAAGCCGCACACCAACUCUGCAGAGGAGAUUUCUUUCAGCCUUGGGUUCUUCAGGCAGGGGUGGAUAUGUGGGCCUCUUAGCCAAUUUUGUUUCUUGCCCGUUGACUGCAACAUCAGCAUCUUUAUUGUCUCCACCACCAGCCAUAGCAGUUGAUUCUUUCAUGCUUUCCAUAGAAGCUGCCAGAGCUCGUUGAACUUCCUCAUCCUCCUCUUUAUUUUCAUUUGAUUCUACCAAGGCUAUAACAUCAAACAACAUGAUGAUGAAAAAAUUAAAAAAGACGGUUUCAUCAUUAGAAAUGUAAGGUAGACAUAUCUCUAUACUAAAAUAUAAACCUUGAUUAUCUUUGUUUUUCAUCUAUUCCCAUUUUGAUAAAAUCAGCAUAUCAUAAUCCCAGAUUUCAGAUCCUUAUCACUUAUUAUUUUCUUAGAAUAUUUGUUAGUUAUGAUUCUAUUAAUUAGGGGUUUCUUUAUUUUUUUAUUAGCAUAAUUGUUAGAUAUGAUAAUACUGACAAAGGAUCUCUUUAUUAUUAAUUAGGAUAUUUUUUAGUUAUGAUCCUAUUAAUUAGGGUUAUCAUUGUAGCCUUUUUUCAAAGACAUUUAUUUGGAAUGAUAAUAGCUAAUAACAGAUAGCUGCAGAGUUUUCACCCACAAAAACAUUAUAGCAUGAUAGCAGAGUGCGAGAUAACCACUCUAUUUAAUGUUAUAAUAAUACUAUUAAAAUUUAUAAUAAAUAUUCUACCAUUAAAAUGUAGCAUAAAUCACACUCAUAGCCAGUGAGGUUUUUUCGAAUGACACUAACACCCCAGUUCUUUAAAAACUUUACUCAAACCUCCCCUUUGUUUUAAAAACAUUACAUUUGCCCCCCUUUUUACAGUAAACAUGUACCCCCAUGCAAUCCCAUUUUACAUUUCAUAAUGACAAAAGUCGGGGGUCUCUGUGAUUUACUCAAAUUAUAUUCAAUAUUCUGCUGUUAGAAAAUCAUAUAUGAAUAAAAAAAAGGUUCAAUAGUCCAAAGUUGAAACAUGGUCUUUGUUUGGAACCACCAUUGGCUUGGCAGACUCCGACCAGUGCUAUAUAUUUAAAUAAAUUUAUAAAAAAGUGCAUUGACACAGUGGUUGCCUUGACUAAUGUUUGUACAUGCCCUAUAUUUGACCCUUCCCAACCUAGCUUUGUAAGCUAUUUAGAAAUUACAUGCCCAAUCCCACAUCACUCAAGCCCAAUAAGCCAUCAUAAACCUAAAUCUCAUCUACAUACAAAUGUGAUGAGCCACCACAAGCCCUCACAUACACACAAGCAUAGUUUAAUUUUUCCUCUCUCUUCUCUCUUUCUUUUUCUCUCUUCUUAUGCUCCCUCUACGCUACAACAAACUUUAAGAGACAACUACUUUUUUUUUGUGCCAAUAAAGGUAUUUCUAGUGCGACCGAAUUCACUGAUUUUGUCCAGUCUAAUCUGAUUCAGAUCCAGUUCAAUGACAUUGACACCAGUUCGAGAGCAGGUCCAAUCUUGUGACUUGAUCCAACUGACCACAAGUUCGGUUUAUAAUCAAAUCAGCCAAUCCAAGAAAGUUUAAUAACACUACUUGAAACUAAACAAGCAUAGACUGGGAUUAUAAUAGGCUGGUGAGUAUAGAACAGAGUUGCAUAGACACCAGUUUGAGAACAGAUCCAAUAUUAUGACUGACUGAACUGGUCACAAGUUUGGUUUAUGGUCAAACCAACCAGCCAAUCUGACCUGAGUUUAAUAACACUACAUGAAACUGAACAAAAAGUGUAUGCGUACGUACCUAUGGUGUUUCCUUCUUUUCCAUCCUGAUUAUAUUAUUUAAGAUUGGGUUUAUGAUUGGUUGGUGAGUAUAGCACAGAUUUGAUGUUCAAAAAACAAACAGGAAUACUUAGGAACGCAUUGGUGUGCUAGAACUUGUUAACAUCAAGUCAUCUAACACCAAACAAACACCUAGAAUAUAGACAGAGACUAGCAAAAAACCUUUAGGUUUUGGUGGGCUAGAACUUCCUCUAGGACGCUUGUGAGACAAUGUAAUAUGAUGAUCCUUAGGCCCUGCAUCAAGGAAUGCUAGUAGACCCUGCAUCAGUAAGUUAAAAAAUAACCUAGUUCAGGAUUUAUUUAUGAAUAAUGUUUCAAUUUCUCAAUAAAAAAUGUCUUGAUCAUAGCAAGUUAAAAAAACUGUAUCACAUACUUCCAAUAAGCUUUCGGGUGGAACCAUUCCAAUCCAAGAGCGCAUCUUUUGGCCAGUGAUGGGGUCAAUAACAAGUACAACAGGAAUUGAAUCCAGUCGGUAAUAAGUGCAGACUUUUCUGCCUUCAGUUGUAUCAUCAUAUACCUAUAUGCAAAAACAAUAAUUGACAAUGAAAAAUUGUAUAUAAUACAAAAAAAAUACAACAAAUGUACGUGUUUAAUAUCAGCAACAAAUACUUUUGAAAAUAUCACCAUAAACCCAAAUGCAAGCAGCAACCACUCUUAAAGAAUUGGAACUAUAGAGGACUUAAAACAGCUACCACAGGGGGAAAGCAGUUGCCAUUCACUGGUUAGAGCAAGUUUACAUAAGCAAAAUUGCCAAGAGUACAAGAUUUGAGAAGGACAAGAAAGAAGACUUAAGUAAUGGAUGCUCCUAAAUUAAAGAAAGUAUUAUUUCAAUCAUCCAACCCGAUCCCAUAAAGUAUCAACCUGAUGAUUCUCCCACCAAAAGCAAUUGUUACACUUACACACACACACACAUCAUCACAAUAUCUAAACACAUAUAUAAUAAUUCAUUCACUUUUAUUUUUAAAUCCAAUGGAUCAUAUUUUUUUGUUUCAAGGACAUGAUCCAUGCAAUAUCCCAAAGCUAACAACCAAGGACUGAUCUAAUUAAUACUUAAUGGAUCAAAGUCAAUUCAUCAUAAAUUUUUUCAUAUUUAAUUUUUUUAGUAUUCUCUCCUCGCCCAUUCUCUCUCAAUGGAUUGGAAUUGGAUCUAUCAAGUCCAAAAUUCAAAAUUCUUAAUAAAAAAAUUGUAUUUAAAAACUCUAAGAGAUAAAUAAUAUUUUCUAACAAAUUAAAAAUGUCAUUAAAAUAAUAGACACACAUUCAAUGUUGUUUUCACUCAAAACAUGAUUUAAGAUCAAAUACAAGCAUACAAAAUUACUGAUAAAGAAAGUUUCACCAAAUUAAGUUGAACAAGAAAACACUCAUUGAACAUAAACAAACAGACUGGGUUAUUUACUUUAGUUACUACUUGCACCAGAAAAAAUCAAUAGUGUUUGAAGUGAAACUAAAAUUUUAUUUAGAAAUAUCUGAAGUCUUAUACCAUGUGGAAAGAUUGAAUUAUUAACAAUGAAUCUUGUACUACAGAUAGAUCACAGAUUCACAAUUUCAAUAUUUAAACAAUUAUUCUAGUUCAUUCAUCCUAAAUCCUCCUUCGGCUUUCAGCUAGCUAUAAUCUUUUAAUCAACCAACGAAUUGAACCCAUGGUAUAUUGAAAGAACAAUUGGAGUUUGCUUUCAACUUUCAAAAACUAUGAUAUUUUAAUUUGUCAAAAAGUAUUUUUUUAUCUCUUAGUUUUCAAAUAGUAUUUAUUUUAUCAAGAAUUUUCGACCACCUAAAUCCAAUUCCAAUUCAUUAACAGAAAGGGGAGAGGGAAAUGGGGGGCAGGGAAUAGAGAAAGAAGAGAAUAUUUAACAAAUAAAUUUAUUUCAUUUUUAAAAUAUAUUAUUUUAUUGGAUGCCCAUCCAUUAAAAAUUAUAAUGGAUGGAUUGCAUUGGAUUUUAUUAGAUGGAUCAUGGAUGGAUUGGAAUUGUUAGUGGAACAAAAUAAAUUAUUUGUAUCCGAUCUGUAAUGAUCUGGCUAAGAAUUGAUUUGAUUCAUCCAUUUUAUCAUCCAUACAGAUAGAAAAUAUUAUGAAUCAAGAGGCAUAGACAAAUUCCAGUUACUGUAAACCUAAUUUAACUGGGUCUCACUGACUCAAGUGCUCUAUACUUUAAUUGAAAGCUGCUGUCUAAACUACCAACUAAAUGUAAAUGUCCAUCAAACUAAUAAUAGACACAGUUAAGAGAAAGAUAUACAUAAAAUUUAACUAAACACAAGAGAAAAUGUAAUCUGACAUGAGCCCAUUUUGAAGUCCAAAUAUCAAAAUCCUCCAAACUUCAUAAUUAAUUUAAUUAAUCUGAGUGAAUUUGUUCUUUUAUCCAAAAAUUACAAUAAGACAUGGUUAAGCUUAACCGCAUACCGUUAGAGUGCCAUUCUGUGUAUUAUGGGCAAGAUAAUAUCCAGAAACUUUUUUGAAGAAAUUUGAGAAAUUAUACGUACUCUUAUAUAAAUGCCAGGUAAAUAACAUUUUGAAAAUAGAAAAAAAAUUAACCACCAGUGUUCAAGUCAACAGAGUAGGAAACUGACCUGCCAGAAUAUACAGUUUGUACUAAUAGUCUGAGAAACAGCUUCAUUGGCCCAUGUAUCACGAUUUAGCUUCACAAAGUGAUCAUGAUAUUAGUGCCAAUGCUGAAACAGAUCAAGAGAAAUGAAAAUGGAAAACCAAGAAAAUAGUACCAUAUGGGAGCUGAAUUCCUUGGUAGAUUGUAUGUUCACCAACAACCAUUUGUUCUGCACGGAAGCAGCAUCUUUUGCCUGCAUACAAAGGCCAAAUGUUUAGUCACAACGUAUACCAUUUACAUUUACAUUUCAAAAUAUAUGCACUGCUCAUCUAGACGGACCUGCUACAACUUUUAGGCAAAAAUUCCCAUAAACUAUGGAGAUGGAAAUGAUUGUAAUCCAAAUGAGUUUAGGGCAUCAACUUGUACUAUUAACAGACAGAUGAAAAAGAAAAAAAAAGGAAGUGGCAACUUAAGCACUCUAUCAUGUAUGCAAAACAGAAAUAAUCUAUAUCUUAUUAGAGAUCUCACUAUGAUAGACCAAUUCCUGAAAUAGGUAGGUAUUAGCCAGUUCUAAUUUUGUACAAGUUAUUAAGCAAUUAUUUUUACAUUAAUUUCAUAUUAGGCAGUAUAUGUCUGAUAUGACAGUUACAGUGAUUUAUAGGUUCUGUGACUGACUUGUAGAAGACAAUUACAGUGUUGAAUUGUUAUCCCUUGUCUGUAAGGAAUGAUGAAACUCUUUCUUAGGAGCAAUGUUAUCAAAAUCGCAAGUAUACUUGCAAACUCACACAAUCUAUGAGUACGGAAGACCAAAGAGAGAACAAGUGCAAAGCAGAACAUGAAGGUCACGGAUCGUUGCAAGAUUGCAACUUCGCUCAUGAAAUCAGCAGAUCAUGCAUCAUGUCAAUCCUGAAAGCGUUCAUGCAGACUCAGACUUUGUUGCCCAGUUCUAGUUCCCAACUCCUGUAGUUGGCUUUCCAGUUUGGGUUAUAAUGACCCAAUUUAAAAAAAUAUAAAAUAUGACCCUUGGAUUACCAAUUGCAAAUCAGAAUCAAACAUCCUACUCUGUUCCACUAUGCUCAUCAACGACAGGUUGUCACUGACCAUAGCAGCGUACCAUAGUCAUCUCUGGCCCUUGUAACACUCGUGUCUCAGUAGUUGCCAGCCAUCACAACUAGCACUGACGCUUGCAUCACCGUAGACAAGGUUCACAUCACCAUCGCUGGCACCAACUCUUGGGGGUGCCAUUUUUUCUUGUUGCUUUGGCUGUUCAGAGUUUUUCUUCUCAGAGAUACUUAUUUUAUUAUUUUAGUUAACCAUCACAAUUUAAAAGACAUUUCUUCUCAGUGUUUGUUCUAUAAUUUUUCUUCUGAAUAUUUUCUCUUAUUCUUGCUUCCAUUUAGAUUGGGAGCAUUAUGUCAAGUUCAUAAUUUGUAUUAAGCAAUUAUGAAUUUACUAGUUAUUAUCAGUUAUUCUAUGGCUUAUGAAACUAUUUGUGUUAUGUAUUGGAGAUAUUUAUGAUUAUUGUCUAUAUUAUUUUAAAAUAUAGUUCAUGUCUAUAAAUGUAGUUUUUCCUAUAUGUCUUAUGAGUCGAGUUAAGAUCUGUUAUCCCCCUUCCGGUUCUCUUACAAUCAUUGAGUUUGACAACAUUGUUAGGGAAACACUCUGAGUAUAUACACAAACAAAUAUGUCCUAAAACCCAAGUUAUUUCUUUCUUUAUUUAGAACUCAGCUUGUUUAAUUCUUGAGUCCAACACAUUACUAGAGAAGGAAAAUUAUUUAAGUGGUGGUGAUGGAGAUCACUAUAACAACUCCCAGUCCUAUGUUAAACAAGGCUGAUUGAAGAUUAUAUGCAAAUUUUGAAAUGUUGUUUGCCCAAUAGCUAGAAAUACCAGAAUACAAGGGUUUGGAGUAUUUUAUGAACGGGAUUAAUAAUGUUACUACGAGAAAGUUGUGAACUUGCAACCAAAAGAUGUACCAAAGGAAAUUGGUCUUUCAAACUCGACAUAAAUUGAAUUGUAUGGAGAAACAAUGGGUUUUGAGUCAAAGAGAACAAUAUGUAGAAUCUUUCCCUAAUGCCUGGCAAACAGGUGAGUUUGUGACAACUAAACUCGGAAUGUUAGGAAGAGAAAGGGAAGAUGUUGGGUCAGUCUGGUUUUCACCCUAACCCUAAUCAAUUGGGUGAUAGUCGAGCAAGGGUGCAGAAUUCUAAAACAUUAGCAUCAGUUGGGCAACCCAAUACCAAUUCUGAAAGAAGUAAUUAACAAACUUCUGAGUUCAGAAACAGAGGUGCUAGAAACUUAUCAUACCAGGAGUAUGUGAGGAGAAGAGAGAAAAGUUCACUGUUCUCACUGUAACAAACAAUUUGGCCAUUCCAUAGGUGUCGUAAAAAGAAGUAAAAAUGCUUAUUCAAGAGCAGCAUGAGGGGGAGUUUUUGGGAAAUCAAGGGCGUGAGGGUGCGUCGGAGUGUCAAUCGCCACAAUCUUUGUGCAUGGCGGUCGCCUGAUCGAGACAAUCUGAACAAUGGUGUCGUCGGUUCAAACAGCGAUGACAACUGCACAACGGUGGCUCGAAAAAAAAAGUCACUGGUGAACAAUGGGUUCACCAGGAUUUACCUAACUCUAGAUACCAUGCGAAAAUAAAGUAAAAAGAGGUAUAGGAUUAAUCCCUUGUGUAUAAUGAACACAUAGGAUUAUGUAUUUAUAGAUAAGAAACAUACAAAAGAUAUGGGCUAAGCCCAUUACAUCUAACAUAUGUAAUGAUGACUAUGGUUCAGAUAUUAAUGACUAAAAAUAUACUUCUUUUGCUUGUUCAUUUCAUUCCUUAGGCCUCCCAACCUGAUGUCACUUAUUGGUGGUCCAAGAAAUAAACCUUGGUUACCAAAUGCAUUACUGAAGCAGAAUAAAGGAGUCUUGUUACUUCAGCCUCGGAGAAUCAAUGGGUACAGUCUCAACUGAAACAACUACAGGUUGUUUGCUCCACACCUACAAUAUACCUUGACAAUCAAAGCAUUGUUGCUUUGAGUUGAAGCCUUGUGUUGCACCAUUAAACAAAAUACAUGGAAGUGAACAUCUUUUUGUCAAAGAAGAAGGCUAUAGAUCAUUCCCACAUAGUUGCUCGUGUUGCUCAAGAUCAAAUUGCAAACAUUUCACCAAGCCUCUCUCUAAACUCAGAUCUAUAACUCAGACAAACUCAAGUUCUCAAACAUCACCAAUCACCCUGAGUUAUAGGGGACAUGCUAAAGCAUAUUGUAUACGAUUAGUUAGUUGUCACCUAAAUUUGGUUAUAAUUCAGUUGUACCUAACCAUCCUUUGGUUGUUAGAUAUAACCAACUAAAGUCAUCCAUAAAUUGUGAUCAAUUGUACUUUACAACAAAGAUUAUCGAUAGCUUGUUUUCUUUGUUUUCUCUAAAUUAUCUCUAUGGCAUACCAAUCUAAAAAAUUUAAUGUUAAUUUCGAAUUAGGUAGUUAAACAUUAUGAUAUCUAAUAAUUAUACACAAAUUGUGUGACAGGCUUGUGAAAGGAAAUUAAAGUGCCAAAUUGUUAUUCCUUGCCUCUUGGGAGCAGGAAACACCUACGUUAGGGGGAAACCCCUAGUUUGUACACAAAUAUGUCCUAAAGACUAAUAUAAUUUUAUCUUUAUUGAGAAUUUAGUGUGCUAAAUUCCGUGAGCCUAACACAGUACUAGUGUGUGUUUUUUAAAUUCUCUCCACAUUGUGUUUGGCUUCACUCUUUCCACUCCAACAGAAUCUGGAAAAUCCAAUCUAAGAAGCAUGUUUACCUUAUCAAAAGGACCAUUGAACAUCAGAUGAAAUGGUGGGCGAUAAAGUGAAGCAAGGUUGUCCCGAGAAGUCUCUGCUGUAGAAGCAGCACCUUGCUCUGGCUCCCAAACUCCUGGAUUUCUCAUUUCCUCUUCAAAGUUACGAAAUGCAACUAGGGUGCUUGGUUCUUGUGAACGAUGCCCAACCCUUGAUGCUCUGCAUAAACAUGACAAAAAACAACAUAAAUACAUAGUUUGAAUGUCAAAGCAACAUAUAUACUAUAGCACAAGAAAGUAGACUUAUAAAACUCAAUGAGCCAAACUAAAAAAUACGCAAAUAUUUCUUAAAGAUAAGACAAGUAAUAAAACAACAUUAAUUGAAUUCAGGCUACAAUAUCAAGGACUAAAAAGUAAAAACAACAUUAAUCCUUUAUGAUACAUCUCAAAUACCAUAAAAAAAAAUUGUCGGCAUUAUACUUCUUGGUGGGUAGUCAUCAAACAGACACGCCAAGACACGCCAUAUUCAAAAAGUUAAACCUUCCAGUUAUGUAUGGAUAUCAAGACUGUCUAUCUAGAUUCAACAAUUGAUUCUUCUUUCACCUAAUUUUGUUUCACAACUCAAAGGCACACAUAAACAGCUUGCAGAUUAUACAAAUAUAUAAUCCAGAGAAUAAAAAACACCGAAUAAUAUGCAUCUCUGACAAAACAAAAGAACAAAUGAGGAAAAAAAAACAUACCCAUACAGCAUUGCAUCGUCAUAGAGAGUUUCCCUUAUUACAGGCAAGGGAGGGCGCACUUCAUCUGCCUCGUUGAGUCCAACACUUUCACUCGCCGUUGCGUCCUUCCUCGGUUCACUGAAACAACAAGUACAAGUUAGAGAGAAAGCAACCCACAAAAAUCACUUACAAAUAGCACAGGAAUCGGAGUACAACCUCGGAGGUUGGUCAGUCCAGGAAUCAACAUUUUCCAAAGGUGGGGUGUGCAAAGUUGGAGGCGGCACUGCCCCACUUUCACUACCUAUCAAAAACAACUGGAGGGCCUCCUCAAGCUUCCAACUGGUAGCCUGUUACAACAUCAAUCACAACAACAACCCUAAUAUUCCGUAGAUCUGUUAACAAAUAACAAUAGUCUACACUUCUCUCUUGAUUAAAAUUCACUCCCCGCCCCUAUGAGUGGUAGGAAGUUUCAAGAUUACACAAUAAUGAGUGUAGAAAGAUGUGAAAUUGGGGAAUUUGGGAGAGAGCGAAACCUGGAGGAACUGGCGCGCAGUUUCGGCAGUCUGGCCCUGAGCGACCUCAAGAAACGAAGAAACCAUGCUCUGCUGCUCGUUCGUGGACAGCACUCCUUCCAUUGAUUCCGAUCGAGAAGGGAUUAGGGUUCGUUCCAAUCCAGAGGAAGAAGAUGAAGAAGAAUAUGAGUACUCAUUAACCAACUAACACACUCUUCUCUGUAAUCUUUAAUGUUUUUGUGAAAUAAUAAUAACAAUAAUAAAUUAUUAUUAUUAGAAUGUUUCUCUUCCUAACUUUUACAUAUUAUUAUUAUAUUGGCAAAUAUAAUUUUAAAAAAUAUUUUUAACAAUAAUUUAUCACAUGUUAAUCUAUUUCACUGUAUAAAGAUAACUUUUUUUAAUGUUAUUUUUUAAUUUAAUUAAUAAAAUGAAUAAUUGAUUUUUUAUUUUAAAAUAAUUAAAUAACUUUUUUUAAAUAACGGGUAUAUAAUUUUUAAUAUCAUUUUUACAAAAUUAUAUAUAUAUAUUAAAUUCUAUUAUUUUUUUAAUUAAUUAUUUAUAAAAAUAAUAAAACUAUAUAGAUUAUAAAGCUAUGCAUUUUUAAUAUAAUCAAAAUGUAAAUAUACGUGUGUAAAAAUACUUGUGUUUUAACUAGUACUUAUUAAUAAUAUUUAUUUAAUUAUAAUAAGAAACAGUAUCAUAAAUAUUAUAUAUACGAAUUAAAUCAAUCAAUUAAAUUAUUAAAUUUUGAAUAAUUUCGAUAAUUUACUACCAAAUUUCUUAUUAAAAUUUGACUAAAAACAUCUACAAAAUAUUUUGCUAAGGUGUGGUUGAGUUUAGUUCUUAAGGACUUAUUUGUGUUGAUUAAGUUUGUGAUGCUAUAAUAGAAUCUUCAUCUUAAGCAUAAAAAAACUAAUAUAGCACAUAUUAUAUAAAAAAGAAUAGAAGAAAAAUGUAAAAUAAAACAUGAAACUUGCUUAAAUUGAAAUCUUUUAAGUUCAAAAGAGAUCCAAAACACAUGACUUAAUUCUCGUGCAAAAUUUAUGAUUCUAGUUAUCUACUUUCAAAGUAUAACAAUCAUGUUGGGUAAAUAAAUUAUUUUGAAAAAUAUUGAACCAAACAAUGGGAGACUUUUUCAACCUUUUGAUAUACACAAAACUACAACACAAAUAACUUAAUUAUCUUUUAUUAUAUUUCUCCAAUUGAUAUUCGACUAAACAACAUCACAAUACUUGAAACCCCAAGUGAUCAUUAGUCGAUUAUCUGUAAGCUCUUUCCACUAAGAAAUUAGAGAUUAACACUUGGUUCACGUCUUUUAGUGAGACAAUAUUGAAAUUUAAUAAAAACAACAUUGAUUUUCAACCUUGCUCUUUACUUUUUGUUAGGGAAAAAAUACAACAAAUGAUGGAUAUAUGUGAACCUUAACAAUGAACAGACAAUAAAAAUAAUAUGAGUGAUACAGUCGAUGUUAUAUGGAAAGAUGCGACAAAUAAAUCAUUUUAUGCCCCAUCAAAUUAAAGGAUAUUGCAUGUCAUACUCUCCUGUAAUAGGGAAAGGUUGAUCAAAAGGGAUUAAGAUCUAUUAAUGAGUUGUCACCAUUAAUCAUUUAGAUUUGGUCUUACCUCUAAUUAUUAUUAUACUAUUAAGUUUAUAUAUCCAUUUUUACUUUCAUAAUUAUUAGCACAAAUCGUUUAAUGACAAGUAUAUCAAUCGCACGAUAGUAAGUAGUAAGUAAUUAUCGUUCUCCUAAAGGACUUGUGAAAUGCACGACAAUAAUUACAACUCAUAACUAAUUUAGACUAAAGAAUAUUUCCAUACAUUGUUUUGAUGUUAACAAAAUUAAAACCGUGCAUAAAUAAUUAAAACCUUUUUUGGGAUUUUAUCAAACCACUUAAAAUGUAUAUGAAAUUAGAUGUGAUGUGUUAUUGCUAGGGUUAGACUUCAUUGAACCUCACUCUCAUGCACAUAAUCACUCGACUUUUUUCCAAUUUAAUACUAUAGUCAAUCCAUGAGUUUUCUCAAACUCAAUUUUCUUAGUAAAAUGAGUUUUAAGUUUCCUUGUUAAGAGUCAGAUCCUUAAGCAUUUAAUAAACAAUUUUGCUUUCACAAUAAGGAUUUAAGACAACUAAGGAGUUAAGUUUCAUUUAUAGAUACAAGCUUUAGUAGGUAUUUUACUUUGGUUAUAAAUUACAAACGAUGUUUUUCAAUACCCAAUGAAUCAAAUAUCAAGUUAUGGGUGAUAAAAUCACAACAAGCAUCAAGCGUAAAAGUUGAGUGUUAUCAUUAUGUCUUUAGUAAUAAAAACAAUUAAUUAUGUUUAGCUUGGAAAAUUGUUACUGUUAGAGCAAAAAUCCAACACCAUGUAGUUUUGAUUAAGUAUUUAAAGUAAUAAAGCAUGAAGUUGUGUUUGAUAUGACGAAAAUCAAACCAUACAAGUAAAUCAUUUAUCAAAUGAUAAGAGCACCGUGACUAACCACAAUGUUAGGUAGUUGAAGAUUAAAGUUUAGACGAUGACUACAUUUAAAAGACCAAGUUGGCAUCCUUCUGACCUAUCAUAUAUUUACGAGUCAAUCCGAUUCCCAUAUCUCCUUGGAUCUCCCGUUAAGUUGUUAGGAGUCCCUUUAGUUGAAUCAUUAUGAGUCUCAGUAAAAGUUGAUUAACCUAACUCUCAAUCAACAAUUUAAUGUUUCCUUUUACUUGUAGUAGCUCAUGCUUUGAUUCACCCUAACCAAUGAUGAGUUUCUAUUAAGAUUGGAGUCUUUCAUUCCUUGUCGCUUCAAUCCAAAUUGAACUCGUCCCAACAACGAAGACCUUCCUAUUGUAAGGUGAUACUCUGCCCUUCCCUUAAAAUCCACUUUGAGUUUUAGGGGUAAAGGAGUAACUAAUCUAACUUAUUGAGUUGUCAAUAUAUUGAACAAUUAACAUUUGAGCGAGCCACCUUGUCUCACUUUGGGAUGAGAGGGAAGGUUGGUUUGACUUAAAUCCCAAACAUUUUCUUUCAUCUUACAUUGUUUUAUGAUGUAAUAAGAUAGAUUUGUUAUUAUUAUUAUGCUAACUUGCUUAGUCCCACUGGGAAAACCUUUGUUCCACUCGUAACUUUAGAAUCCACUCAUUUUUCCUAGUUUCUGAAAGCCCUUGUAUCUUGGCUUACUCUUAUUUCUCAACUUGAGUUUUGAGUUUAGCGACUUUUAUCAUUAACAAAAAUUUGCGCUAAUAAGACAGGUGGGGAGUGUAUGCCUUUUUCAUAAAAUAUAAAGCUCUUUAUACUUUAACGAAUAAAUAACAUCAAAUUCAUAGAAUAAAUGGUCAAGAAACUAAUAGAGAGAGAAAUGUCCUUUUCAUUAUUGGUGGACAUUUCGUUAAAUUGAACUGCUCAUAGAGCUUUUGAUUGAGUUGUUUAUGUUUUAGAAUUCCAUGGAUAAUUAGGGGUUUAAGUUCAAAGGUUACAAAAUGUAGUGUUUUUUUUAAGGGUGAUCAAAGAAACCAAAACUUUUUGCUACUUUCUUUUCUAUUUCUAUUUCAUAGCGAAAUAUUUCCUUUGUAUCGAAAUCUUAACAAAAAUUUUAAAAAAACAAUUGAAUUGAGAACACAAAAUAUUACUCUAAUCACACAUUCUCACAUCUCUCUACAUAACAUAUUACAAUUAUCUUUUUCUUUAACGUUAAAUUAUUUUGUUAAUUAUAUUUUAAAGAAUAUUUUUCUUAUAACUUCUUAAUUAUAAUAUUUAAUAAUGACUCGUAUUAUUUUAAAAGUUUUUAAAAUGCAACACAGACAUGUGUUUUCAUAAUUAAAAUGUACUCAAUAAUUAAUGGUUAUAAAAUUACAUAUUGUUGGAGAUCCCACAUCGACUAGAGAUUAGAGCCUUUCAUCGUAUAUAAGUGGGUGCAAACCUUAACCUCAUGAGCCGGUUUUAUGGGGUUGAGUUAGGCUAAAGUCCAUUUCGUAUCACAUAUAUAAUAUAAUUUAUAAUUUAUAAUUAUACAUAAAAGAGACUUUCUUUGCGUAAAUAUUUUUCUUUUCUAUAUUAGUCUAAAAUCAAAAUUUUUUUUGGUUUUCUUUUAUUUCUAUCACAAUUAUCUCACACUCGAUAUCAUUUCAAAUUUCUUAAAUGGUAAAUUUAAAUAUAUGAACAAAAUUAUUUUUAAACAAAACAACAUAAGAAAUAGUUUUUAUUUUUUACUUAUUUUUCUUUUUCAAAUUUUCACAUAUCAUUUGAUCUUAAAAUUGAUAAUGCGGGUAGGUUGGAUAGGACAACUCGUGGUCUGAUAGGAAAAAACACUAGAUAAACUUACUAUUUUAACAUAUUAACUUGUUUAGGUUCAUCCCAUAUAACUAGCGAUCCAUACAAACUAAGUACGAGAUGAAGUUGAUCAACCCCGCAUAACCUCAUAUCUUAAAAUUUUAUUUCAGUACCUAAAAAUAACACGGGGAGUGCAACCAACCUUAAACAUAAUUUCUCUUACAUAUAGUUUUCUUAACCACAAAUUUUUUUGCAUGAGUUAUUGAGAAAAUGAGUCAAAAUAAUCAAAUUAUUAAAUUAUAUAUUUUUUAUAAUUAAUAAAAUUUCAUUAAAAUACAUUUAUAUAUAUAUAUAAUUUUUUCAAAAAUAUUUUUCUUUUGUUAAUGAAUGCGGAAUAAACCUAUAAAAUCAAACAAUUAGUAGCCAAAUAUUAAAUAGGCUAGCUUCCAUUAUCAUUCCUAUUUAAUAUGUAUAAAAUAAGAUCACUUUUAUUUUAUUUUAUUUUAUCUUAUCCUCAUUCUAACUAAGGUGAUUCUGCCACAUAAAUCCAAUUUAUUUAGUACACCUUUCAACAGCGACAACCCAUUCUUCAAAUAUAAUUUUAAUAUCAGUGUAUUUUUUAAUAUUUUUAUAGGAAUUUGAAGUUGGAAAAAUAUGUUUUCACAUUUAAUUUACUUUUUAGAAAAUAAAAUUAUCACUAAACUAAUUAUUCGAUUAUAAGUCUUAGUUAAAUUUUCCACAAAAAAAUCCCAUGGAGAGAAACUAUCUUUUUAAAAUAAAAAAUCACUUAAAUAGUUACCAUGUUACUUUUGUUAAAUUAUUUAACACGUUAACAAAUUAGUGUUUGCCAUUAAAAUAACAAAUUAUGUAUGGGUUCAUACAUAAAAGAAUAUGUAAAUAUUGUUAGUAAUAAUUUUCGUUAACGAAAUAGAAUCGAGUCAUUAUAAUUUCCACAUUCAUGAUAAUUUGUAAUUCUUUUUUAUAAAAUAUCUAUUUUUGUGUUGUUAACACCAUUAAAAUAUAGGUAGGGUUAAAUGUUUUUUUCUUAAUGAUUAAAUUAUUUUAUUUAAUUAGUAUUUUUUUGUAAUGGAUAGCAUACUGGUUUUAACUAUUUGAUAAAAUUAGAUUUAAGUUUACUUAUAUAUAUAUUUUUUUAAAAAAAUUGUGUUGAUGGGUUGGUAUAUUUAAGAUUUAUUUAUAAAAAAAUAUUUUAUUGGUAUAAUAAAUUUUUUUUAAUUUAUUUUUAGAAAUCGGUAUAAAUAGAUAUAAUUUAAUUAUGUAUUUUUGUUAACAUAUAAGAUUCUCUCUAUUUUUUCAUAUUUUUUAAUUUUUUUAUUUAUUUUAUUUUAAUAAUAUAAUGUUUGAGGUAUCAGUGUUUUUAUGAUUAAGAUCCGAGAAGGGAGUGGGUUGGCCCGAACCGUAACCCGAAUUCGAAACCCGAAACGUGAAACCCGAAACCCUGUUGAGAAGCAUAGCAGCGGUAACAUAAUAGGUUUUAUGGAGGGUUUAUUGGCGGCUGGGUUGUGUGGUGUUUGUUUCAGAUCUUUUGCAGUUAACACAACACCGUAACGCUUUCUCUUCUCUUUCUCUUAUCUCCGAAAUGUGGACCAAAUUAGCGAAGCGAGCUUCAUCAACAAUAAGGAACAGUUUCCGUGUUUCUUCUUUAUCUCCCAGAUUUUUGCAGCCUCAAACAAGUACAAUACUAUGCACAUACCCAUGCCAGGGUUUAGCCAGAGUGGGAGUGAAUCGGUCCUCGUUUUUUUACGAAGGUUUUUCUUCGCCGUCUUUGAUGGUGGCCGGUAAAGGUUACGCCACGGUUGCGGAGGCAAUUGAAUCGACGGACACCGAAGACGAUCACGAGGAGGUUCAGGAACUGUUGCAGGAAAUGGCGAAGGCGGAACAGAAAUUGGACUGCAGCAGCUACAAGUACAAGAUGCUGAAGAGGAGGCAGAUAAAGGCGGAGACGGAGGCGUGGGAAGAAGCGGCGAGGGAGUACGAGGAGCUGUUGGAGGACAUGCGCAAGCAGAAGCUUGCUCCCAAUUUGCCAUUCAUGAAGUCGCUCUUCCUUGGUUGGUUCGAGCCGCUAAGGAAUGCGAUUCUCGCUGAACAAGAGCUUUGUAAAGAUAGCAGGUGCCGAUUGAACCACGGUCCUUAUUUCAACGAUUUGCCCGCGGACAUGAUGGCUGUGGUCACCAUGCACAAGUUGGUGGCUCUGUUGAUGACCAAUUCGAAUGGCGUGGGCACCGCCAGAGUCAUCCAAGCCGCUUGCCAAGUAGGUGAAGCAAUUGAACAUGAGGUAUACGAGUCUCUCUAUCUAUGACUGCGACAUUAAUUCGCUAACGCAAGUGUGAUUGAUUUCGGUUUUUAUUGUUCAACUUGGGUAUUACUCUGUUGAAUUCGCAAUGUUCAAGUGUUCGUUAACUGAAAUGCUACCCUUCUAUGUGGAUCAGGCUAGGAUAUUCCAUUUUAUGAUGAGGGAGAAGAAAACCACCGCUGACAACUCAUCUCAUCUUGCUCCUGCAGUACAAAGCGGAAAAGUGACUGGAGAGACCGAGGAAAUGGAACAAAAGAAGAACAAGCUUCGGAAAAGAGUUGCUGGUUUGAUGAAAAAACAGAAGAGGCGACAAGCGAUGGGAAUAGUUCGGGGUCAAGAUUAUUGGAAACCUUGGGGGCAAGAAGCUCAAGUAAAGGUUUGUGAUGCUUGUACUUGUAAGUUGUACCUGCGAACAUGGAAAGUUUAUUCUGUUUGUAUUACAAUGUAUUUAUUGUACGUUCCAGGUUGGCUCUCGAUUGAUUGAAAUGCUAAUAGAAACAGCUUACAUUCAACCGCCUGCCAAUCAGUUUGGAGAUGGUCCACCGGAUAUACGCCCAGCAUUUAAGCAUACCCUUAAGACACUUUCAAACGAGUCACAGUGAGAUUGACAGUACUCUUUCACAAUCAAUAUCUACAAAUUUGAACGAUUACUUUUUCAUUCCUAAACAAUCGAUGCUUUCUACUUAACUAGGAAGGAAACUAGGAGAUAUGGUGUUAUUGAAUGUGAUUCUCUGGUGCAAAAUGGCCUUGAGAAGUCUGUAAGUAACUCUACGGAAUGCUUCUUCUUGAAUUCAUGUCCCCUUUUCUUUAAGUAGGUUAUAGGCAGAAUUAUUAUAGGUCAUGCUAACAUGUCUUGUACUUUCAGCUAUACUUCAUGCUUAAGUUUGUGAGUUUGAUGCUAACAUAAAAUUUUGUUUAUUUUGGCAGGCACGGCACGUGGUCAUCCCUUACAUGCCAAUGUUGGUGCCACCCAUUAGCUGGACAGGGUACUAUAGAUGUUUAUACAUUUUGUUUUCUUAUUAUAAAGAUUUAGCUUUUUCCCAUUCGUUUUAUCUUUAGUUUAAUUCCCUAAUGUAAUACCUACAUUUUUUGAUAGUAUAAUUUGAAUCACAUGAACAAGUUCAAACAUCUAAUUACUUUGUGUAUGCUUUACUGAUUUUUCUGUGAUAAGAACCUUUUGGCAUCCCACUUCGGAUUGAGUAAUGACUACAUUUUGCUUAUUGCAAUAUCUUUUGUAGCUAUGACAGAGGAGCAUACUUUUUUUUGCCAUCGUAUGUGAUGAGAAUCCAUGGAGCUAAGCAGCAACGUGAAGCAGUUAAGAGGGCUACCAAGAAUCAACUUGAUCCUGUUUUUGAGGUUUGGAUAUUCUUUUUAAAAUUAUGUUUUUCUAAGUCUAUUCAUGGAUUGCUGUUGAUAGUUGUUGAAAUUAAUUCUGGUAUUGUUCUGUUACUAGGCCCUUAAUACUCUUGGCAGUACCAAAUGGAGGGUAAACAAAAGGGUUCUGUGUGUGAUGGAUCAAAUAUGGGCUAAUGGAGGACGCUUGGCCGAUUUGGUGGAUCGUGAUGAUGUAAGCAAUAAACAAACCUUGUUGCUAUAUUUAUCUGUUGAAUACCCAGAUUCCCACAAAACUUGGCCCACUUUAUUGGAAGAAAUGAUAUUCCACUUGAGUAGCUUCCAGCACAACAGUAUAUAUUUCUUGGAAUCAUGCAUGAUUUUUAUUUUUCGUUUAGGGUUUGAUAUGUAUUAAUCGAUAAAAAAAACAUCUGAAUUCUUAAUUUACAUUUUCCUAUCAAUUGAAGAGUGAGGGAAAAGAUAACAAGGGGCAUAAGUGGGAAUAUAGUUGUAAUGAACUUACAAAUGCAGCUAGGUGUUUGUGAAAGAAGGAUCCUUCCUAAUUGAGUUAUUGGGUAUCUACUCAUUGAGACAAAAUUGGGACCUUUGGGCAGUGAGGAAGUAAUCCCCUGAAGUUCUGCAUUGCCUUGGUUCAUUUUUUAUAUUUUAUUUUAUUCUUCUACAUUUAUAUCGAUCUGCGGACUUAGUGAUAUCAGUGUCAAUGGUCUUUUACAAUAAAGUUUGUAUCAGUUGCUUCAAAGUUUCUAUUGGAUAUAAAUUUUUGAAUGUGUUGUCAAAUAUAACUCAAGACACCAGGGUUGUUCACUGGUUUUUGAUUGAAUUCUCUUUUUAAUCUCAAAGGUUCCCCUCCCUGAGGAACCAGAUACAGAAGAUGAAGCAGAAGUCCGAAAAUGGAAGUGGAAAGUCAAAACUGUGAAAAAGGAGAAUAAUGAGAGACAUUCACAGCGAUGUGACAUAGAACUUAAACUGGCUGUAAGAAAUCUGCUACUUUUAGAGAGAUUGAGUUAUGUAGUAAAUGCUUUCCAGGAUAUGUUGCAUAUAUUUAUCAUUGUUGCAUUACAUUGGCUUUUUUGGCUGUAGGUUGCACGAAAGAUGAAGGAUGAAGAAGGUUUCUAUUAUCCUCAUAAUCUUGAUUUUCGAGGGCGAGCUUAUCCCAUGCACCCAUAUUUGAACCAUCUUGGUUCUGAUUUAUGCCGAGGCAUACUUGAGUUUGCAGAGGGACGUCCUCUAGGGAAGUCAGGGUUGCAUUGGUUAAAAAUACAUCUUGCAAAUUUGUAUGCUGGCGGUGUCGACAAGUUAUCUUACAAUGAUCGAAUAGCAUUUACUGAGAACCACCUGGAUGAUAUAUUUGAUUCUGCAGACAGGCCUCUUGAAGGUAAUCGCUGGUGGUUGCAAGCAGAGGAUCCUUUUCAGUGCUUGGCAGCAUGCAUGAAUCUCUCUGAAGCAUUGAGAAGUCCUAAUCCUGAGACUACCAUUUCUCAUAUGCCAGUACACCAGGUACGUUGUGUGGGAUGUCAGAAAUUGUUAUUUGGGAACAACUAUAUUAACUGAUUUUACAUUUUAUACUACAAAGACAACUCUGCUACCAUUUUUAAUUGAAAUUUUCAUCUAAAUGGAACAGUAUAAUUUUUUCUUUCAGAAGCAUAGUUGUUAGCAGGAGGGUGAAAACCUUUAAAUUGGAGUUGCAUCUUAAUCAUAUAAGUUGAAAGAAAUAGAUGAAAUAUAUUUCUGAGAUAUUUUACAAAUGUGAUUACAGUCUCUAUUUAUAGACAGUUUUACAACCUAAUUAAGGAAAGAAAUAAUAGGUAAUGAAAGCCAGAAAUAAUGGGUGUUUAAAGCUGUACAAAUAAAAUAAAAUAAAAUCACUAACAAAUCUGUCCUAAUAAAAUGGAAUCUGCACUUAAUUAUAACAUAAUUCUCCUUAUGCAACAAUAUAUAUUCAUGCAGAUAAAGUUUACCUUUUGGGAGGAAGACACAGUAAAACGUAGUCAUAAUAACUCUUGAUAAUUGAGAAAUGUGUUAAUUAUAAUAAUCACAUCACUCAGGCAACUUAUUUAUUUUAAAAAUGUGUUUACUAGGAUUAUUUUCACCUCUCUUGGAAGUUUUUCCUUGGUACAUUUUGAAAUUGAGUUGUGACAAAUAUCUAAUCAAUAUUAAUAUUACAUGUAAAAUUAGAUGUAUAUUAGUCGUAUUUGCUUGUUGCAUACUAGUAUACAGCAACAUGCUGUUCAUUCAAUGUGUAAGAACUUGGGUUUUCAUUCAGCUGUACCUAGGAAUACAUAAUAAAAAAGAUGAGUUUGUGUUGAUCAUAAUGCGAGGUUUUCAGGUAUCAAAUACCUUAUUAAUUUUAGACUUCAACUAAGUUGGUAUACUUAAACUGUAUCCCAGUAUUGCUCUGACAUUUCCUAGUCACUCACUGCAGCAUGCAUGCUGAUGAAGUUGAGGCUUGAAGGCCACUAAUCCAUUCUUUAGUAUUUCUCUCCUAAUUUUAAUUUUUCCCCAUGCUUGCUAGGAUGGUUCAUGCAAUGGCUUACAGCACUAUGCAGCACUUGGGCGAGACAAGGUAUUUUGCAUUUCUUAUUUUUUCUAAGGUUUUUUGUGUGUAUGAUGAGCGGGUCAGAGUCUAUAGGAGUUUGUUAAAUGUUUAGUUGGGAUGUUCCUUGUCUCUAAUGUUGAGAUGCUGCAUCAAUUGUAGGUAUAUAACCAAAGAAAAUCAUAUAAAUGCUUGGGCAAUCCUCACUUUAUUAGCUAGUUUCUGGGGUUUAGUAAGACCCAAUUGAAAUUGAAUAAUGAACCAACCCUUCAUGCAAAUGGCUUUUAAGCUCCUUCCCCAUCUUGUCUGUGAGAGCAAGACUUUAUUUGUUUCAUGGGAUUGUUAUUCAAUAUAGCUUGAUUGAUAGAAUUAAAAUAUUAUUAACUUUUAAAUUUAUUUUUUAUCUUUUCUCAACUGCUUGAAAUUUCCUGAUUCUUCUAGAAACUGAAACCAUGGAAAUGCAAUGAUUGCCAAAUUAAAAUAAAUUCGUAUUUUACAUUGAUUGCCAAAUUAAAAAAGCCUAAAGUUGAAUUUUUUAUCAACUAAAAUAGUUUCCUUCUUUUUAUUGUCUGGAAACUUAAAAGUGAUAUCUUAAAAUUCAAUGACAUGGAUUUUGAGGUAGUUCUUAAAUUCUGUUGAAGUUGGGGAUGCUGAAAUAUUUUAAAAUCCUAUUGCUGUCAGAGUUCAGCAAUCUAGUGCGAGAAGGGUUUUCUGAAGAUUUGUGGCAUAUAUAAGUAUUUGAGAGGGAGGCAGACAGUAGGGUAGAAAACUCCACCAAUGUCAAUAUUACACUAGUUUAAUUUCAUUUUCAGUCAUCAUUUGCUAUUCUAUAUUUAUAACCUAACGAGAUGAAGGAACCAUUUGGAUUUCUUACAUUGUGUUGAGGGUAGGAUGUUUUCUUUAUGGUUUGAUAUAUAUGCUCGGAAAGGUUGGACCUUGCACGCUUAAGAAUAGUUGCUGUAAACUUUUAUCAAUAUUAAUGACAGCAUGUUGCUAUGAUUCUUUAUAAAUUAAUCACUUUUCAAUUAUAAACAUCCAUUCUAACAUAAAGUAUUUGAGAGGGAGGCAGACAGUAGGGUAGAAAACUCCACUAAUGUCAAUAUUACACUAGUUUAAUUUCAUUUUCAGUCAUCAUUUGCUAUUCUAUAUUUAUAACCUAACGAGAUGAAGGAACCAUUUGGAUUUCUUACAUUGUGUUGAAGGUAGGAUGUUUUCUUUAUGGUUUGAUAUAUAUGCUCGGAAAGGUUGGACCUUGCACGCUUAAGAAUAGUUGCUGUAAACUUUUAUCAAUAUUAAUGACAGCACGUUGCUAUGAUUCUUUAUAAAUUAAUCACUUUUCAAUUAUAAACAUCCAUUCUAACAUAAAGUAGGGUCAACUUUUGGUAGUUUUGGCAUGACAACAUUGUCUUACUUCAGUUCACCCUCUUUUUCUAUUCUGCCUCAUCAUCAAUUUUACUUCUCUUUUUGAAGUUGGGAGCUGCUGCAGUCAAUCUUGUUUGUGGAGACCAGCCUGCUGAUGUUUACUCAGGAAUUGCGGCCAGGUAAUUAUCACUGAUAUUUCUAAAACUGCACUGGUCGUUGAACUUUUAAAGGAAGUAGCUCAUUGUUUGUGUACUAGCCCUUUGACUUAUCCCGGAUGAAUUCUGCAAUGUUGGAAUCACUACCAUUGUCUCUCAAUUGCAGUUGAGAGAGGCAUGGUAAAAAGUUGUGAAUUGAUAAGAACUUUGAGAGGACCUUAGUAAAAAAGCUACCUGUAAUAGUGGAACUCAACACUUUCAAAGUAGGAAUUGAGUCUAAUACCUUGCUAUUCCAUCCUAGUAGUUUUCAACCAUGGAUUGGUAUCUAAGUAAUAACUGAUUAUUUUAAGAGAAGAAGCUACUACUCCGCUUUUCAAUUUCUCUCUAACUAUUUGAUUGCAUUAUAUAGUUGUAUUGUAGUAUUUCCCCCAGAAAUGAAUGAGGAGACCCUAUUAAAUUAUAUAUAUUACUACUACUGUCUUUUUAUUCCUCUAUCUAUGAACACUCUAAAUUUAUUUGCUGUUGGAAAGAAGUUUAUGCCUUUUGACGUCUUUGGCUCUGGCAAUAUGGUGCAGAGUACUUGAAAUCAUGAAAAAGGAUGCAGAGAAAGAUCCCCAAACUAGUCCAAAUGCAUUGCAUGCUAGGCGCUUAAUCAGCCAGGUUUCUUUUAAUUGCAAGUUUCAAACAGUUCUUUUUCUUUUUUGAAUGUUUUCCUCUGGAAUAUUUGAAGAUCAAAUGGUAGGAGCUUGUAGACUUAUUAUUAUUAACAACAUUGUUGACUUCUCUGACAUUACAAGUGGCUUUGAUAUUUUUUCUUUAUAAUGUAAUAUGAAAGGAUAUACAUUUUUGUCAGCCUUAAACUUAUAUAAAUUAAAUACUAUCAUAAUUAACAUUAGGUGGACCGAAAGUUGGUAAAACAAACUGUGAUGACAUCAGUCUAUGGAGUGACUUACAUUGGGGCCAGGGACCAGAUGAAGAAGAGGCUAAAGGAGCGUUGUGCCAUUGAGGAUGAUGUAGAGCUGUUUACUGCUGCUUGUUAUGCUGCAAAAGUAUGAAAAUUUGAUUUAGUGGAAUUGUAUGUUAACAUUUCUAAAUCUAUUCUAUUAUUUAUUUUACUUUUACUUAUUAGUCAUUGCUUUAUAGACCACUCUCACCGCCUUAGAAGAGAUGUUUGAGGCUGCAAGAAGUAUUAUGGAUUGGCUAGGUGAUUGCGCAAAGGUAUGUCUAAUUUUCUGUUGAUUAUCAUUGAUUAAAUGAAUGAGUGAGUGCAUCCUUGUAUUGUCUCUAAAUUUUGUAGAGACAGAUGUUGCUUCCCAUGUUUUAGAUUCUCUUGGUGGGUUUUGGUUUGAUCCCCCCACUUUUGUAUUUCUUUUUUUCUAUUAAUUGUAUUAAGAAUGCUGCAUAUGAUUGGUAAAAGUUGUAGUGCUAAUUAAUUGUGAAAUAUAGCUAAUCUGAAAAAUUUCUAAUAUAUUUAUGUUUAUCAUGAUAUACUUUUCAUAGUUUAUCUAUCUAGUUUAUUUAAAUUCUGUAUGUGUAAUCUUAUUGUUUUUAAUAUAUGUCUCUUUUUGAUACAAUUUGUUCAAAAAUUGACAGUCUAGGGUUAUGGUAAGAUGUUAUCUUUAAUGAAUACAUGUGUGUGUGAAUAGUAACACAAGCCGACCUUCAAGACUUUUAGAGGUUUGUGGCAGACGACACUCAUUAUUCUCUUAAUAAGUAGCAUUUUUUUUCUAAAAUUGGAGAUUUUGUUUAUCGUUGUUGGUGUUGAAUUGUCACUAUUCUACAUUCUCUUCUAUGAUUAGGUGCUUAGUUAUCUUCUACAUAUAAGCCAAAUGACAUGCUAACAGUGACCUUGAGGAUCUAGUGUUAUUUGUGACAUUUAAUACAUAGUAAGUUUUAGGUUAAGGGGGAGUCUUAGAAUAACCACAUGUAGCUCAGGUGCAUUCAGAUUUCAUUGGAAUACGUUUUUGGGAAAUAAGACUCACUUAUUCAUAGCCUUGUAAAUUAUAUCUCAAAAAGUGUUACUCAAGCUAUUCCACUCCACCUUUCUGGAUUCAACACAGGAAAGUGGUCCACUAUAAUAGAUUAUGCAAAACAGCCAAAACUAAUCAUGGGUGAAAUGAAAUGGCUUGCUAGGUGCUAUCUUUAAAACAAUAUUACAUAAUUUCUCUAACUCUUACACUCCCCCUUAACCUAAGACUUACUAUGUAUAUAAUAAUAAUAAUAAAAACUAAAUAAAACAUGAUAAGUUAAAAAAUUGUAAAUAUAAAAAUUCUAUAGAUAUAUAUUAACUAAAGAGAAAUAAAUAUUACUAAUCAAUGCAUAUAUUGUUAUAUAAUAUAUCCUCAUGUAAAAAUCUAGAAAGAAUAUUUAUAUAUGUGUGCUAUGAAAGAGUUAUUUCCAUUUUUACUCUUCCUUUUUUUAUCUAAUGGUAAACACUAAGUUGCACAUUAGAACCAUUAUAGUAUAAGAAAAUGAAAGGCGAGAAGGAAGAUUAUUCUUUUUAAAGUUACUCAAACACUCUAAAAGAUUUACUUCUCAUCUUCGCUCUUCCUUUUUUAUCUAAUGAUAAAAGAAUGCGUUACUCUUCACAAACAUUAUACUAAAAAAAUGAAAGAAGUGAAUGAAGAUUAGUUUUUUUAAAGUUAAUCUUGGAGUAACUUAAUCCAUAUUCUCAUAUAUUUGUUUAAAGUUAUUAUCUGAUCUUUUUAUACUGGCAAAAGCUAUACAUGGAGAAUAGUCUUUGAACAAUUUGUCAGUAGCACCAAAAUCAAUAAUCCAUAUAUGUGGCUUUAGAAUCUCUUUGGGUACUAGUAGGAGCAUCAAAUCUAAUCUAAAUUAUUCCUUAAUCUUAACUACCUGAAUCUUCUAGAAUCCUUAUUUGAAAUUUAAACUUAAGUAAAAUUAAAGUUACAUGAACCUAAACUUUUAAUGCAGCACAUCCCAAUAGAUGUGUAGUUUUCAACAAUCACCAAGGCAUGUUGACAUCAUUUAGGUGAAACUUCUUUCAUAUCAAUUUUACAAGAGAUCUUUAAUAACUUCAGUAUUUGAUUGAAUGGAGAUGGAAUAAUCCGAGGAUGGUAUCAUAAUUUUAUAGGGAAAGUAUAAAUGGGGAUCAUUAAGGAACCAGUUCUGUUAUAUAAUCAGCCUGUUGACACCCCUAUGACUUCAGGGGUCAAGCUUUUGUGAACUUGGGACAUUUCCAACUGUAAAUUCAAAUGGUCAGCUAGAAUAUGUAUUCUCUAAGUGAUUGAGAUAUCUUAUGGCAAGUUAUAUGUGAAAAGUGUGGUGCGUAUAUUUUAUAUGCUCCAUAUUGCGUGGGACUUUUAGAAUGUAUUUGUUGUUAGGGUAACAGCAAAUCCUUAUAUUUUUUAUUCUGAGGAUAUAUAGUUGAGUUUUUGUUUUGUAUUAUAGGCACAGAUUUUACAACAUGCCCUUUUUUCUCUCCAAAAGUGCUACAGGAAUUGAACAUGUUAUUAAAGAAUUUUAUGUUAUUCUAACACUAUGUUCGCAUGCUUUUACCUGUUUACAUCUCAAUCAUUGUAAUGAUUUAAAUUUUGAACAUCGAAUAGGUGAUUGCUUCCACUAACCAAGCAGUCCGGUGGAUCACUCCCCUCGGUCUACCUGUAGUACAACCCUAUCGACAAUUAGGAAGGCAUCUUGUAAUUUCUCAACUGUUGGCCUAUAUUUUUUCUUCCUAUUUUUCAUUGUCUCUUUUUUCUUCCUCUCUACUAGUUAAAUAAAUUGGAAGUAGUUAACACAUUUUUUGUCACUAAUAUGGUAAUUGGAUAUGAUGCACAGAUCAAAACUUCCCUUCAGAUAUUGACAUUACAACGGGAGACUGACAAGGUAAGACUUGUCUUUGGAACUAAUUGUUCUUUUUUGAAUAUAUCACAGUUUCAUCUGUGAAUAAGAUCCUAUAUUUGUACGAUUCUUGACGCAUUACCAUAUCAACUUAGAGUAGUUCAUGUUUUGACAGGCUUAGUUGCACCAUCCGAUUUAUGUUCUUUUUGCUGUAUGUAUUACUUUGUUAUUAUGUUGGUAUUAUUUGUCAAAACCUGCAAUGCCCUUGGGACAAUCUAGGUGUCUUUCCCUAAGCAUACUAUUGUUAAGCUAAUAGAAUAUCCACACUAAUGUUACAGGUCAUGGUUAAAAGGCAGAGGACAGCUUUUCCCCCAAAUUUUGUUCACUCUCUUGAUGGUUCUCACAUGAUGAUGACUGCAGUUGCUUGUAAAAAAGCGGGCUUGAACUUUGCAGGUGCAUAUUGGUUUAUAUAAAAAACAUAAAUAGUCUUGGGUGAAUGCAAUUUGACUUUCCAUUAAGAAUUUAAAUUUGUAAUCUAAUGCUUAAUUGCAGGGGUUCAUGAUUCAUACUGGACGCAUGCAUGUGAUGUCGAUGAAAUGAACAGGAUACUCAGGGAAAAGUUUGUUGAACUCUACGAGGCUCCAAUAUUGGAAAAUGUAAAGUGUUUUUUAUCUUUUAAACUACAUAGGUUGUUUGAUUGGGUUGAAUUUGACUUCUAAUUUGGUUACUUAGAUAUUAGAUUGCCAAGGUGAAGCAUUUUCUUCAAAUCAAUCCAUUCUGACUCAAUCCUUUCCUUUUAUACUCUUAACUUUUGGUAAAUGCUUGUCUGUUGUCAUUCAAUCCACUCAAACUUUCUCUUUUUAUGGCUUCCUGUGUCAUUCAAACCAUUUGCUUAUUAAGUCUUUUUGAUGCAUUUUGUAAUUGUGUAAAGCAUUUAUGAUUUAUCUUGAAUCAUCUAACUUACCUUUCUACUUGACCAAAUCAAUCAACGUACCAGACUCAAUUUUUUGGUAGCCUUGCAUGUUGCUUUUGGAUUAUUAUUUGACAUAUUUUGUAUACAAGUAAACUCGUCAUUGGAUACCAAAUGACUUGGUUGUUUAAUAGUUCAUUCUUUACUUGUAAAUGCAGUUGUCCGAGAGCUUCCAAAAGAAUUUUCCGACAUUGAACUUUCCUCCCUUACCAGCACGAGGAGACUUCGAUCUUCGGGAGGUUUUGGAGUCUACAUAUUUUUUUAACUAGACUCUCAGAAACUCGGGUUACUUAUCUAGUACUACCUUUUCCUGUGGUACUGGGAGGCAAGUCUAACUGAUGAAAUUUGUAUAUAUCUCUACAUGCAUGGGAUUGUGAAAGCCUCAAAGACAACCGUCAUGGAGAAGAAGAAAGAAGUGCGUGGAGCAAGAAUUGGGUUGCCAAACUUAAAGAAUCUAGUACUUCUUUUAUACCCUUGUUUCAAACAGAGACAUAUUUCCUUCACGAGAUGUCCCAUAGUUGGAACUCAAGUUGUCUUCCCGAAUGCGUUACAUGUACAAGGAAUGAGGUGAUCUAAGUUGGGUUUUGGCAUGUACAAGAAAGGGGGCCUUCAAAUGUGGCUUUACAUAUGUUGACGAUAACUGUUAAAACAAGAAGCAUAUACAGCAGCCAAUCUGUUUUAGUUCGUGGUUGAUGUAACAGAUGAAGGAUUGGAGCACUGGUAAUAAUUUCUGGUGACUUUCAGAUCUGGAUGCUACAGUCUUCAUGGCUUUCUCUCUUACGCACAGCCAAAAUCAAGGUUGCUGGCAAGAUCCUUUGUUUUGCUGCUGUUAUACAAUUUGUAUUUUAUUUCAUUCUUGUAAAGUAAAUAAAUUAAUACCAAAAGAAAAAACACCUGCGGUAUCAAAUUGUACAUGGACGUGUGUUUUUUAAUUUAAUCACUAAUGAUUGAUAGGUCUCAAAAUAAUAUUUAAUGCAAGUUUUAAAUUUAUUUUUGUCAAGCAUUUCCAUUUGUUGAUAAAAUCUUAGUUUACAACAGUAUUAAAGAGUUUUGCAUUGCACCCUCAUAAAACAAUUGUUCUACGACAUGGCGAUACAUCCGAGGAAAGAGCUCUUGGUACGUACCCUAAUGUUCAUGUUUAAGAAAUGUUCAUAUAUUCAUGCCACAGAAUAUUAUUUAUAUAGUUAAUUACAAAAAUUGUUUAAAUUAUGUGUAUUAUUUACGUGUAAUAAUAUGAAACUCAUAACUGCUUUGUCAGUCCAAAACAUCCCCAAUGCUACUUGGUUAAUUUCAUAAGAAGAAAAAUUUGUCAAGACAUGAAUAAGUUGCACUUAAGUAACACAACAGGUAAUAAAAUGUACUUAAGCAUGUACUUUGACGCAUUUAAUUGGAAAUCGAAGUUUAUUAAUAUUUAUUUUCCUUUAUUAGGUUGAGACUGCCAUCUAUGACAAAUGGGUGGGGGAAGAUAACCUACACAUCCAAGUAACAGAGAACACGUUUAGGCAUGUGCAAUCGUUUGCAUGUAAAUCUAAUGUACUUUGAAAACAAGAUUUAUUCAAAGGAGUGAGAUUUAAUGUGCUCAUUGUUGUACAGGAUAAGUUGGACAGCAACUAACAAGAUGUUAUGUAACUGCAAAUCAUAUUCAACACAAACAAUGAAGUUUUCAAUUACUAAUUUUCAAAGUUUUAAGGAAUAUGGUAGUUUUAAAUAAAAUAAAAAGUGAGCAUUAUUUUAUUAAAGAUGUUGUUUAAACUAUAAAAUUAUAUGAACAUCGCUUAACAUAAUUCUAAAUGAACUGCAAUCUUCCAAAUUAAAAUUACCUUGACUCAAACUUUAGUUACAAAAUCAAUCAUAAAAUUAUGUUUAUGAUACAAAAUUCGAUUGGGCAACCAAUUUUCUCAAGCUUCUAUUCAAGAAGAAUAAUUACAUUUUGAAACUUCCAAUUUCAAAGUUAUAAAAUCAACUUUUUAUAAAUGUCGCUUCUAUCACUUAAUUAAAAAUUCUGCUGUAUUAAACAAAUUAAUCGACUUUCAAAUUUUCCCGCUGCAUCGCCUUCAACGAAAAUAAGAAUUGAUUGCAUGUACAACUUAAUUCACAUCCCCUGGUGAUAUAUACAUACUGUAAAUUGAAUAUAUAGUCGUUCAUACAGAUUAGAAACACUAUUAGCAAAUUCAGAUACAAAAAAAUGAUUCCAAGUAUCCACACAAGCUCGUAAAGAUUGCUGUACACUAGUUAGUCUGAAUCUAGCUCAGGAAUGUGUAGAUAAAGCAACAAUUGCCCUCCACCAGCCACUCCCAAGGCACCUCUCGAAUUAUCGGUAGCAACACAUGCAACAUUGCCAUCUGACAUCGAAGACUUGUAUUUUUUAAAAUUUGGAGAAAAAACAAAAGAUAUAUAACAUGAUAGAAGAACAAUAAGAGUGACGCCUCUCUAUGAUGGACAUCAAAGAAACCAGUCAACAUUUUGCUUAUGCAUCAUGUUGGAGAUCCCACACCGAUUAGAGUAUUUUACAGUAUAUAAGUAGAUGCAAACCUCACCUCAUAAGCCGGUUUUAUGAGAUUAAGAUAUGAUAUUAGAGCUCAAAUACAAUUAUUCGCAAAUAAAUGAGGGUGUAAUACAUGGGAUUUGGAAGCUUGAAGGAUCGAACAGAUAGUGAAGAACCUAAUAAUAGCUUCACUGGUCACCAGAGUUUCAAAGAAUCUUGUAUCCAUCUCACUCCUCUGAUCUGUAGACUAUAGCUCGUUCCCCUUUAUCAUUUGAGCUUCUUAAUAAGAGAUGGCCCCAUUCCUUAAAACCAGCAUUGACUGUAACACUCCUGUGUCUUUCACUUCUUCCGAUGAGCAAAAUAACCUUGAACCCUAGAUUCAGAACAUCUUCAUGUAGUUUUAAACUAGGUUGUAAGGAUGGAGCUAUCACUCUCGACGUGAAAGGGAUGUGUUGAAGAUUCUAUAUCGACUAGAAAUUAGAGCAUUUCAUAGUAUAUGGGUGCAAAUCUCACCCUAUAAAGCCGGUUUGUCCUUUGCCUAUGUCCAUGGUUAGACAACAAAUGGACAUAGGCAAAGGAUAAAUCAGCUUUAUGAAAAGAGGUUUGCACCCACUUAUAUACUAUGAAAUACUCUAAUAUUUAAUCGAUGUGAGAUUUUCAACACACCCCCUCACGUCGAGGGUGAUAGCUCCAUCCUUACAACCCAGUUUAAAACUAUAUGAAGAUGUUUUGAAUCUGGGGUUCAAGGUUAUUUUGCUCAUUGGAAGAAGUGAAAGACACAGGAGUGUUACAGUCGAUGCUGGUUUUAAGGAAUGGGACCAUCUCAUAUUAAGAAGCUCAGAUGAUCAAGGGGAACGAGCUGUAGUCUACAAAUCGAGAAGAGGAGUGAGAUGGAUACAGGAUACUGUCUCAAGUAUGAAAACCUAAAGAACGACAGCACAUUGUACAUAAGUAUAAUUAUUCCCAUUAUUAAAGCCAGCCAGCCAGCAACCAGGAGUGACCUAGUACGAGCAGAGUAGAAACGUAUCUGUAUUCUUAAAUACAUCCCCAAUUAAACUUAAUUCAUGUAGGCAUUCUAACAUUUUCAAAUAAACAUUACACGACCAAUUUAUUACCUCCAAUAGUUUGCUGUUUAGUUACAUUACUGUCAGCGUGAGGUCAAAUAUUCAUCAAAAUCAAGGGACUCGGUUUCUUCCUUGCAAUGAAAGAUACCAAAAGUCUGCUGCCCUUUUCAAAUUCAACCAAAGAUGUAAAACACACUAUUCAAAACUACACCUUUCUAAUUGAUGAAGAUGAGGAAUUUAUUUGAAUUUUGGGUUGGAUUGGAAAGGAAAAUAUGUAUAUACGUUUGGUAGGCAUGCGGGAUAAAAUGUGACCCUGCCUUUUGGGAUAAAAAUGUGAUAGGAAACACAGUACAUAGUAUGUGUUUGAGGAAAAACUCAAUGCAGGGAAACAGUCAGGACACAUCUUAUUUUGCCUUGCUGAGGAAGUUCUUAGCAGAACCUUCUCUAAUCUGGUUCGACAAAAUUUGCUAAUUCCCAACGAUUGGGCAUAAAGGUAUAUAUUUCCCAACUCAUACAUUUGAAGUAAUGGUUUUCCAUAGGGGUAGGAGAUGGAACACGUUGCAUUGCAGCUAGUGAGGUUAUUCCAACUUUAUAAAGAAAUUGCCAGACAGGAAGUUAAUAACUCCAAAUCCAUGUUCUAUGCAAUGAGUUGGUCUGUUAUUUACAAGAAAAGGACUAUAGUUACUAUUGAAUUCUCUGAAGGGUCACUUCCUUUACAUAUGUUGGUGAAUAAGGAAAAAACUGCCACAGUAGCUUGGCAGCAGUUAUGCUUGUCUAUAAAGGAAGGGGGUUUGGGGGAUAAAUCCUUACCUAAAUUGAAUCAAGCUGCAAUUCUUACGCUAAGUUGAGGUUUACUCAAAUCUGAUCUUGAAUGGACCAGGAUUCUUGAACUAAAGUUAUGCAAGGCAACAAAUUUUGUAGUGCUUACAUACAGUCAUUAUGAUGGUCUGGAAUUAAGUGAUACCUCUAGACAACUGUGCUUGGAAAUUGCGAGAAAAAUCAAUUUUUGGUUUGACAACUUAGAAGUCCCCGCUCAAGUCUGACGUAAACUGAAGGCAACUGUUGGAAGUUUUAUUACAGAUGGCAGAUGAAGUAUUCCAUAUGAUUUGAGUUCUAGAAUUUAAAAACAGAUCGAUCAAUAAACCCGUCAUAAAAGUCCACUGGACCUAUCUCCUCUAAAUAGAAACGUCAUGAACAAACUAACGACUUUAGAGAAAACAAAUUUAAAAAGUUGGUGUUUUUUCUAUAUAAAAAAAACUCAGGUUUAGUAUCGAGUUUAAGAAAAAGUGUUCUUACUAAUAGUGAACAAAAAAGCUUAAAUAACCCAAUCAAACUUAACAAAUCAGUAGUGCUUCUGUAGCAGUUGUCAGGUAAGUGAUCAAAGCAAAUGCGUGAAAGAGGAACAGUUGAACAUACCUUGGAACUGAUGCAGAGUAUAAAGCUUGGAUCCUUUAGACAACUCCCACAUAUACACCACUCCUUCAGUUGUUCCGAUGAUUCCAUAACCACUGGAAACACCAAUACCGCAAGUCCUGCAUAGAGUUAAUACACUGGAAGCUGUAAAUUAAAUGAUAAAUCUUAAUUAUAGAAUAAGCAAUAACUUCGCAGCUAAGAGUAUUAUACUGAGAUAUCAUCAGCCGUUCUUUAGAUGCAAUUUCAUAUAUCUAUCCAUAUCACUAAAAAAUUAUUUAUAACUAAUGGCUUUUCACAAUCUUCAUAAUUAAUCCGAGAUUUGAAUGGAAGUGUUUAAAAUAGUAAAAAUUUUCAACGGAAUAAAGUACAAGACAAAUUACAUUCAAAUUCAGAAAAAACUUUAUAGCACCUUAGAUUCAAGGGACUUCCAAAAUUUAUGCUAUUUUUCAUCAUAAGUGCAAGCCUCCAACUUCUAGCUGUAUGUAUAUCAAAACUACUUGAAGUUGAAGUAGGAUUGUGGCAACAAUCCUGAUCAGAGUAAGUCGAGACAAAAAGCCACAUAGCAACAUUUUCCUCUAAUGGUGAAGGCCAAGAGGUCUCUCUUUGCUGUGAGUACCACGAAUUGGUUGCUUUUAAAAGUUUAUCAGCCUGCUCCUCCAUGCUAGCAUAGCUGAAUCCUGAGCCUUUUGUUUGCCACUGGAACAAGCUUAUUGGAAAGAACUCAUUUAUUGGACUUUUUAUAGCAGAGAAUCUUGCAACACAGUUACACUUUGCAAUGUCCCUGGAAAAAAUGUUGACAAUAGUGGAUGAGAUAUUAUCAUAUUACUAUAACUGUAACCCCAGAUUAAAUGAUACUUAAACUUUUCGAAAGUGAUUAUUUCUCCCUUCUCUCUCCCAUUUCUUAAAACUGCUGGGUUAGGUCAUAGGUCAUUUCAAUAGUAAUAGGAAUAGAAUACGAAAUAAUGGAUGAAAAAAUGGCAGAAUAGUCAGCAGUAACAUUUUCUAAAUUUUGAAGCAGAUAAAACUAAGACUGGAAACCUAAUCUUGAAGAUUUGCAUAGAAGAGGGGGUCAUUAUGGAAAGUAGACAGACACAAAAUUCAUGCUCCGAACAACUUGUGACUCAAAAAAGAAAAUAAGAUCCAAUAAAAACAUUAACUAAUGCCCUAAAUGUUAAUGACUACAAAAUGGACAAAAAGUGCAAGUGAAUUCAUACAGCAAAUAUGAUAAAUUGAUAACAUGUAGUAAAAAUGCAAAAGUCAACAUGAGUAACCCCCAAAUUCAUUCCUGAACAAUUUGGCCUAGACCUGUUAGGUCUAGAGAAUGUUUAAAUGUCAACAUUGUCCCAAAAAAACACAACAGUCCUUGAGAAGAACUUGUGUAUUAGGUGCUUCAGAACUAAUAUGAGCAACAUCUGUGGUUUAAAGCACAUUGAGUGUUACGAACACAAUGUGAAACCCUUUCAAGGUGAAUGAGAUGGCAUACCAUAAACUAAAUUCCCCAUAGCUAUUAUGACCAACAACCAAAUGAGUAGACUUCGGAACCUUCUUCAACUCCACAAUGCCAGGGGAUGCAGAUCCAUCAUCAGUUGGAAUAAUGAAGUGCUCUGUUUUUUCACUGCCAAAAUAUGAACGAAAGAGUAAACAACAAGCUAAGUUGCAUGCACAAUUGCAAGAUAACCAAAUGUUAUAUAUUUAAUUAAGCUAGCUAUAAAAUCAACAAUUUUAAUAGGUAUUGACAAUACAGACGUCAUUGAUCAACAAGAAUAAAUUCUAUAAUUACAAGUUACAACUUACAAGUGUGUAACUCAUCAAUAAUUGUAGAUCUCUUCUAGAAAAGAGGUCGGUAAAACUAAUGGCAGGUCUUAGAUUCUGAUAAAAUUAGAGCUUUAAUAAAAACUUGGAAACAACCAAGACAAAUCUGUCAUGACAUCUCAAAAACACAGUUUUCCAAAUAUUCUCAUGCAAUCUCAGAGGAAAAACAAAGGGAAUUCAUAUCCAUGCUGUCAGCUACGAAAGCAAAAAUGCAAUAAAUCAGCAACUUAAUUAAAAUAUUCCUACUCUGGAAGGGACAUAAAUGGCUUUAGGGAAUGCAAAGUGUAAGAAGAUUCACUAAAAUCACCUCCAUUUUGAAUUCAUGACCCACACCUCCAGUUUCCCACUUUCUCCAACAGAAACAAGUCGGUUAGGUUCACAAACCAAUAUACAAUGUACAUUGUCAGCCGUUUCCAAUGUUGUUACAACUGAUACAUAACCAUGUUCUACUUGGACAAUCUUCAAAGCAUUCUUCUCAUAGAAAACUGAUGUACAUGUUGAGCAAGAACAAUCAAUUUUUCCUUCCCUGGGAUGAAACGCUAUUUAGUUAUUCCACUUAAACGGAAAUUACAUAUCAAUUGAAGCAUGCAGACACAGUUAACCUGCAAUUUGGGGCCUUUAUGCUGCCUAUUAAGACAAUAUACUGUCCACCAGGAGUCAACUGCACCCCAGAUCUUUCCACCAUAGUCUAGCAUAAAAUAUGAUAGAUUUUGUCACUUACUAUGUAAUAGUGUAUAACUAGAUUACAUUCUGUUAUGACAGCUGUACUUUUAACAAAUUUUGAUAGUGACCAUUUAUCUAACCAAACAGUUGGAAUAAAAAAAGGAAAAAGGGGUUGAGUUGAGAAUGAACCAAGCAAAAAAUAACUUACUUCUUUUAUGAAGUUAUGUUUUGGGUCGGGUAACAGUAUUGAGCUGUGAGCCAUGACAGAAGGGUAUCCUAGAGUUGGUUCAGUAAUGGCUACCUUGUAAGUAAACAAGGUCCUGUACUGAUCUGUCAGAUGGCCACAUAAGACACAAAUAUGGACUUCAUCCUCUUUUGUGCUUAAAAAUAAUGAUGAAACUGGCAUUGGGUGCAAGUAACAUCCCACAAACUUAACACUGCUUCCCAGAUUACUCUUGAGUUCCUCGUUUUGCAGGGGCAUUGGUUCUGAAAUUAAUUGAGCCUCUUUGGUACCGAAACACUUAUUUUCUUCAGCAAACUGGGUUGGAUUCUGAGAUGGUGCUAGGCUUUGUUCCACUAUGUUGCUAUGUUCAAUCAGAACAUCCCUACAAGUUUGAGGAGUUUGAACACACAAACCUGCAGCAUCAUCUGGUUCACAUGGUUUAUCAUUUGAAUUGCUUAUUAGAAUAAUUUCUGAGGAAUGUAAAGUGUCCUUGGUAGUAUACAUUUGAGUAGUAACAAGUUUAAACUUGUCCCCAGAGAAUGCAUUGCUAACACCUGCAUCGUGUUAUAAAAUUUGUAAGAAAUGGUAAUGACUGAAUCAAACUGAACAAUUCAAGUAAGCAACAGUUUCAAUUCAAUUAAGCUUAAUUCUUCACUCGAGUCCUUGCCCCAAAAUAAGCCAAUAUUUUGCUGCAACCAUGACCAGUGAUGCUGGAUCAUGUGAUUGGGUUCUCAAGAUCAGUGUACCAUGGGGUAUGGAUACCAUUAUCAAUACAGGGAUUAGGGUACAAGAUUCCUAAAUUAGGGGGUACAAAAAAUUUCUAAAUCUAAGGUGUGCAGGAGCAUAGAUUAUAUAAAAUAUUAAAAAAAAUAUAUUAAAAUUAAAUAUAAAUACAAUUUUCCUAGUGUUCACGCAGUGAGCAAAAAAUAUUUAAAAGCACAAGUUCUGACGAGAAUGAAACGGCAAUUUGUUUCAUUUACUAACAAACUUUUCUGCAUGGACCAAUUAUGCUUGGUCAUGAUUGAGUGUUGGGUGGCCAUGCCAUGUGUACCCAUUAAGUAGAGGAACCAAUUUUUGCAUUCAGUAUGGGUACAAUACAACUACUUAGGAGGACAGUGCAUCAUAGCUUGACAUAAAUCUCAGUUCAAAAUAGACUGAAGAAUUAUAUUGCAAUAUGCCAUUUUAUAAUUUGUUUUGUCAAUGUCAAAUAUCAUAAACACAUUACCUCCAGUAAAAUCCUGGGCAGUUGGGAAGUCCUUUUGCGCAGGACUGAGACUAACAUGUGCUGGAUUUUCUUUCACACCUGAGUAGUCAUCAUCUCUUCUUUCAGAAUUAACCUGAUCCUUAGGAGACAUGUCAUCUAGAACAGAUUCAGGAAUACAUACAUCAAAAUUCCGAGGACUGUCUUCAAAGUCAAUCCCUGAAGCAUGAGUUUUGGAUGUUAUGUUUGGCAUGUCAUGACCAAGAAGCUGCUGAGAGCCCAUUUCUAUGUUGAAACUUGAUCUACCAGCUUCAGCGAGAUCAGAAGAUAACUUUUCCUGAUUGGUUUUAUAAUCAUCACAUUCACUAUAUUCAAAACUGUCAGGAACAAUACACUUCAUAUGUUCAGAAUUAAGAGUGUUUGAAUGUGGGUCAGUAUGCCCAUGUAUCGUCUCUCGUUCCCCAUGUGCAGCCUCUAUCAUUAUUACAUCUGCCAUAUAAAAUUUUUCUAAUAAUGCAUAAGGAUACAUAAACAAACAAACAUGAAAAUAAAAAUGUAGAUUGAAAAGACAACAUACUAUAUUCAAAACUGUCAGGAACAAUACACUUCAUAUGUUCAGAAUUAAGAGUGUUUGAAUGUGGGUCUGUAUGCCCAUGUAUCGUCUCUCCUUGUUCCCCGUGUGCAGCCUCUAUCAUUAUUACAUCUGCCAUAUAAAUUUUUUCUAAUAAUGCAUUAGGAUACAUAAAUAAACAAACAUGAAAAUAAAAAGGUAGAUUGAAAUGACAACAUACUAUAUCAAAUGUUUUGACCCACAGACAGUGAUAACAAAUUCUAAGAAACAAUGAUCAAGAUAAGGUAAUAUUUACCAGAAGAGGCUACAUCCAAACUACAUCCAACUUUAUUAUGUUCGUCCUCAGAAUUCACCUGAGAAGGUGGCAUAUCUGCAGGACUAAUGAUAAGCUCCUUAUCUGUUGAAACAGACCUCAGUAGAGGAACUGCUUGAGGAAGCAGAAGUGACAUCAUUGAGUUUGCUACAUCAAGGCCAGCGGAACCAAAGUCACCUUUUUCAGAGCAUGGAUUUGAAUUAGAUUUUACCAAUUUUUCAUGCUCCGCAUUUGACAAUUUUUCAGAGGUGAUCUCACAAGUUGUCUCAAUGUAAGCAUUUUCAUCCAGUUCACUUGGCGCAGAAUCAGGAGUAUAUUCUGCAGUGUACUAUAGUAAGUGAUCCAGUUCAACAGGAAAAUAGAAAAGAUAAAAGAGAAAUUAUACUAAAGGAGAGAGAGCUUUGUAGAAUGAGGAAAUACUAAUAAGUUAAUAAAUAGAAAAAAAGCUUCCAAGAGUUGUUUACAAAAUGUGUUCUUGUUGAGAACUACAUUAGAAAAGCCAAAGACCAACCGUGAAUCCAUAAAUAUUGUAUUAACAUUAGUGGAAUAAAUAAAUGUCAUAUAUUUGACAAUAUCACAAGACAUUUCUCACUUUCAUUCUGUAAAGAACACACUGCACUAUUCAAUAAUGCUAAAGUUAUUAAGGAGUAUCACCCAAUCUUUGAUAGCCCAAAUUGCAAAGGUUUAAAAUUAGAUAUAAACCCCCAACAUUAUAGAAAAAGUCAAACAACUGAGUAUUUUUAGCCAAAAAGUCUUCCAACCCAUCAACUGAAAUGAGCAUGAGGAUACGAGAUUGCAGGUAUUGAAAAACAUUAAAAGUGAAAAGUAAUAGCUUUUAUAGUACAAACAAAAUACAAGUACCUUGCACAAAAUCUAGGGUAUCAGGAGCACAAAGAUCAAUGGCAAUACAACCUACAGUUUCUUUAGAAUGUGACUGCAUUAGUUUAUUGUCUUCUGAUGUCACCAACAAAUUAGACAUCUUCAACUCGACAUUCUGCGACCUAUGAAGCUGCAAGAAGUUAAGAUAUUUUCUUCGAUAACAAAAUAGACCAUUAAAUUUGAUUUAUACCCAAUCUUUGGGAAAUUUUAAACUGAAUCUGAAAUAUCUCAAGCAGGAGAAAAAAUAAAUCAGUUGUAAGAAUUAAAAUAGAUCAAGAUGAAGAAAAUUAAGGAAAGAACAUGUUUUCAAUGAUAACCAUUGAAUAGAUUGCGUUUUAUGAAGCAACAUGUUUCCAUUGAAUAUCGUUCACUAGAAUAUAACAAGUUUAGAGGUAUGCUUACUGAAGGUUCUUCUGUGGACAAGUUUUCAGUUAGUUCUUUAGCACUGCAACUUUGAGAAAAGAGAAAACCAGCAGAUCCUUUAGAAGGCACAGCUCCCACUUCUUUAUUAUCAGAUAUUUCAAGAGGAUUCAGCAGAAAGUCAUUUUUGGAUGAAAUGCAAUUUUUGCUUUUACAAACGGAAGAUGCCCUUUGCAAUGGAGCUGGCACACCUAUCUGAUUCUGGACUUCAUGUACUUCUGAACCAUAAUGAGUUGUAGAACUCCCUUGACCAUGAUUCUUCUCAUUCUUUACAUUUGAGGGUCCACUGCAUACGAAUUGUGGAGACUGUGGUCUAGCUCGUACAUUUAAUUUUUUGUUUUUAAGUUCACAUCUACUUCUCUUCCCUGUAACAUGUUGUUUUCCAAGGUAACGUAGUAAAUCAGGAUACGUGCCUACAUUUGGGCAGCAAUUAUCAUCAUGAUCUGUUCUAGCAACCCCCUCACAGAUGUUUGGGGAUACCAAGCUCCGUUCUGCUAUUCCAUUUACAUUUGUUACCAGUUCACGGAGUAACCUCUGGAUAGACUGAUUUUUGAACCCAAAAAACUGCAUGUGAUUAAAAUAGAAUAAAAUAUAUUAAGCACAACACACAACUAUAUGAAAAACAAUAUAGUAUAAACAAAAGAUGCGUAAUUGUGAAAUAACAAAAAGGAACUAAAAGAAAAAAAGGAAAAUUAUGAGAUUGCUCAACCCAGACUGGUUGCAAAUCCUGGACACAAAUUCUACACUUUUAGAUCUCUUUAUAAAGAAGAAAGUUUAUUUAAGAGGAAAAGGAAGGGUUUCAAGUAGAGUAGAAUAACAUAAUCUCACAAACAAAAGAAAGGAAACAGCAAAAAUAAGCAAAGUCGUUACUAUGAUAAAGCUUUCCAAUUCCACUGCAUAUAUCCCAGAACUAGAAGACUUGUUAAAGAAACCAAAGAGAAGUAAGAAAAACUUUCUCACCAUGUUUUGAAGCACAAAUUACAAAAGCUUGAAGAGAUUACCAAUAUAAAGACAUAAUUUCAACAUAAGAUAAGGGGUCUUUCUUGCAUAAUUGCACAUUGAAUUGACAAGCUUCUCAUGGGAAUUGGAGUAAGCUGGCUAAAUUGGUCAUCCAAGUUGUUUUUUUGGUUAUUGAUUUUACGUAUUUGGUACAGUGGGAACCUCAUUCAGUUUGAUAGUCAAUAUAUGCCAUAUAAGAGGAUUAAAAAUAAGGUUCGUAAUGAGAAGUUGAAUGGGUAAUUUAUUUCAUUAUACCAUGAAUUCUAACAUGUCUGAGUUUUGUAUUCUAAAGCAUUUUAACAUUGAUAUCAAACCUAGUGUUGGCCCAAAAAUCAUUCCUGUUUUGUGAGAGGACCUUUCUUCGGAUGUUUUUUUCUAUUUUCCUUGGAAUCUAUUCAUCCAUCUAUGCUGAAAUCAAGGGUACUGUUUAUGCAGUUGAUUUUGCUUUUGAUAGAGGCUGACAGAGUUUGUGGUUGGUGAAUGAUUCUAUGCUGGUUGUUCAAUCAAGCAUUUAAAAUGAUCAGAUUAUUCCUUCAUAUUUGCAAUCCAAGUGACAUAAUAUGAAGUUUAAAUAUAGUAAUAAGAGGAUGCAUGUUUCUCAUAUUUAUAGGGAAGGGAUUAAUUGUGGCUAGCUUGCUUGUUAUGGAAUUAGAGAACGCUGUACUCAGUGGUGGGAUAAUAUUCCAGAUUCUCUUAAGAUUAGAUUUCUUUAGGAGUAGGUGUUCUUUACCUUGUAUGUUAAUUCUGUAGAGGGUUUUAGUCUAACCCCCCUACUCGUUAGUAUUUAUUUUCCUUAUUUUUAAGCUAUUUGGGUAUGUUACAAAUGAUAGACAUAACAUAUAGGGUACCAACUUAGUUGGGAUCAUAUGACAUUGCGAUGCUUUUGCAUAUGCUACUCUUUUUUUUAAAUACACUACCAACCAGAAUUUGAGUUCAGAAUCUAAUAGUAGCUGUUUUGAUAGGAUACUGUAUACAAGAAAUUUGAUAUUAGUAAUUUAUAGCCAAUGUCAUGUCACAAUUUUGACACCAGAACCUAAGCAAACAGAGAUUGUUAUGCAGCAAAUGCACAAGUAGUCAAGCAAUCCACCUCCUGCAUUCUAUAGUCACUUGGCAAGUUGGCACACAUCAAAGACUGUUGUUUCCAUAAAAACAUAGGACACAAAGGGGAUAAGAAUAACCAAAGCAGAACUUUGUGGUUAGUCAGAAAGCAAUUUUAAUUACAGUUGUCCAUACCAAUCAUUUCCACUCAAAUGUGAACUUGUCAAGUGAAGAAAUGUUAUUCAUCCAAAUUCCUAAAGCAAAAAUAAUAAAAUAGGAAAAAGGACAGGUGAAGAAGCA
Molecule: long non-coding RNA, 46353 nt
Filed under: Phaseolus vulgaris (common bean)
Lineage: Eukaryota; Viridiplantae; Streptophyta; Magnoliopsida; Fabales; Fabaceae
Description: long non-coding RNA (PVUL_LNC004258)
Source: RNAcentral